RNAcentral lists this long non-coding RNA (87992 nucleotides) under Citrus x clementina. RNAcentral's name for it is "Citrus clementina (C. clementina) long non-coding RNA (CCLE_LNC003365)". The stretch from base 41245 to 41353 matches the Rfam family "Plant small nucleolar RNA R71". Lineage: Eukaryota; Viridiplantae; Streptophyta; Magnoliopsida; Sapindales; Rutaceae. The record is from RNAcentral.
UUCAUUAAAAAAAAAUUACAUAGAGGGAGAGUCAAGCUCAAGUGCGGACGACUCACACUUCUUUAGUGUUGUAAAAACAGACGCCUGCUUUAAGCAGCAGCGCGAUUUUAUACAUACAUAUAUAUAUAUAUGGUGAAGUUUCACAGCUUACCGGUAAGGCCGUUGUAGGGCAGUUCAAGAGUUUGGAGCAUUGAAAGGGCAGUAAUUUCAGAUGGAAUGCGCCCAGAGAGAACAUAAUUUGUACGAAUUUUGAAAUUUCUGAGGUUCGGAAAGCAAGAGAAUUUGAAACAACCGAGCUCUCCUUUGAUGUUAUCAUUUUCAUACCAGAGUAAGCUGACCCCGAUUACGCUUCCCGCUGAAUUGCAACUGACGCCAGUCCACUUACAAUGAUCGGACGUGUAGUUGCCCGACGUCGCCCAAUUGUUGACCCACCAGCCGGUAGCAAGUAAAGCUUCCCUUUCUAACAGUAUGGGUGACGACAAUAAUCUUGCAGCUGAUGCCGUUACAGAUAUUGUCGUAUCACUUAUAGCACCAACAUUUAUUAAAAUUAAAAUGACCACCAAUCUCGAAACAGUGGAUGCUGCUGCCAUGUUUAUAAUGGUUUUCGGUUGAUUGAGCUGGCUAUUUGAUUCCUUGCAAAGCGUUUAUAUAAGAAUUAAUUGUUUUGCAAGCUCCCGGUGUUAACUUCCAAUACGCGUUUUCAAAUAGUGUGAGUCAAUGUCUUCUCUGGAUGGAUUCAAUCAUGGAGAUAUAACCUUAUCGGCUUGUAUUUGUGAGGUGUAGAUCUAUUUGAACAACUUUGCAGAAACAUGAGAUAAUAUGGACAAUAUUAGAAAUAAUCAAUAGCGCUAUUAAGAUAUUAAAUAUUACCCAAAAUAAUAAAGAAAAAAAAAAGCUCGAAGGAUUGUUGUUGUAAAAUAUGACUCAAAUAGAAAAAUAAACAAGACUAAUCAUAUCUUUGUAUAAAUUUAAGUAUAAAAAAAACUUGUAGGUGUAUUAUUAUAAUAAGCUGUAGAGAAAAGAAUUUGUAGACUUCUGUGAUUUGACAAAAUAAUAAAAUAAUCCCUUUAUUUUUUAAAAUAGUUACAAAACUCCUUUUGCAACAUGCAAACUAUAUGGAAAAUUGGAAAUUCAUGGGCUACCUAAUAUCCCUCUUAUUUUUUUAUUUUUUAUUUUACACCAAAACAUCAUAGACAAAAGAAGAUAAAAAUUUCAUUGCACUCAAUUUUUUUCAUGAAAUCAAACAAGGAAAAGAAGCAAAAAGUGUUGGAAAUAUAGCACAAGUUACUAUUUGAUGCGUGAUUUUGAGUGAGACUUAUCUGUUGUUUCAAAUAUUCCUCCGUAAAUACUUCAGAAUGAUUUUACCUAUAUAAUCAAAAUAACCCUUGGAUAAAUGAGAAAUUGUUACUCAAAGUAAAUUCAUGGAAUUGGAAAAGUAAAGGAAAUUAUAUUUGUCCCACAUGAAAAAGAUAGCAAAGGCAUGAAAGGUUUGUAUAUAAUUACUCAUGUGUGUAUAAGUAAAAUAUAAACCAAGACGCUCUCUCUUCCGUGCCCCAUCCUAAGUACACAAAUUCAAUGUGAUACGAUCCUAUAGUUUCCGUUCAAACCUAUGCACACUUUAAAAAAAGGUUUUUUUUAAUAUAUUUUUUAUGUAUUUUACAUUUUUUUUAAAAUUUAAUAAAUGCCAUAUUAUUUAAAUAUUUAAUUUUAAGGCAUCUUUUUUAAGUUGAGGGCAAGGAACCCCUCCGAUACGUAAUGCCGAAACAUGCUAAUCUAAUCACCUUGACUUUAAAGACUGCUUCCCCUAGUCAGCAAUUAUUUGGAACUUACGUCUUGACAUGUGCUGUGGAAAAUAAAGAAUGAAGUAGACUUAUUGAGUCAAGCUGUUUCUUCAAUCCAGAUAUUUAGUUUAUACGUGUGCAAAUAUUCAAUGCCUAACUUUAUUCUGCACAAAGCCUAAUGUCCUAUUUGGGAUAACGGUUGAAAUACUUAUAAGUUUUGAUAAAAAUGAUGUUUGAUAAAUUUGUUAAAAGUUUAAUUCAUAUUUUCUCCAUUUUGACAAUAACUCUUAAAAUAAGUAUGAGAUUGUCUUUUAUAAGCAACUUAUUAAAUAAAAUGCCAUUUUUUUAAAGUUUCUAUUAUAACUUUAAUAUUUUAAGAAAAGAAUAAGUGUAUCUUAUUUUUUAAAAAAUCCUAAUAUAUAAGUAAAAGACAAUUUAAACUUAUGUUUAUUUUAAUGAUUAUAUAAUAAAAUAUUAUUUUCGUAAUCAAAUUUACCAAACACUGAGUGAGCUACUUUUAUAAUCAUUAGAUAAUUCCAUUCACAUCGCAGAAGCAGCUUAUUUCAACAGCCACCAAAAUCUUAAACUGAUCCUAAGUCAUGUUCGGAAUUGCAUGGGAUUGUCAAAUAAUUAACAAAAGAAGCUAUUAUGUAGGAGAAUAGGAACAGGUUCACCUGGAGCAAUAUACUCAUAAGCUUGGCUACUAAUAAACGGAGCGUGUAAGGAUAAACACCUAAGUUUUGAGAGAUACAUGUAUCUGGAGGGCAAAUUCUUUUUCUCCCACCGGCUUCAAGGACCUAUACAGUAACUCCUAAAUCAAAGGGAGAAAAUGGUUAAUCCAAUGUGGUUGUGUAUGAAUUGAUAUUCACCGUAUGAUUAUUACAUAAAGAUUGAACCUUUGUACGUGCUUUAUAUUAAGUAAAACUGCACACUUGUUCUACACAUUUAGACAACCCAGAUUAAGAAUUAUGAAAAUGAAAUCUACAACUAGCUAGGUGCACUAUUAUUUAUCUUUGCUCCUUAAAUAUUAGAAAGAUAGAGGAGAGGGAGAAAAAGAAAAGACUAAUUUUGUAGUCCAAAUUUAAUCUUAUGCUCUGAUUUUGAAGCAAAUCAGCAGAGUAUUUGAGGAACCAAUCAUGAACCAUGUCCAUUUCAAUCUUUCGCUGCAUUACUAACCAUUCGGGGUCAUCUUCUGUUGCUGGCUGUAUGUCUAAGCAAUGGGAACCUGCUCCAAUUUACACACUAUUAAUUAUGUUAUCCAAUAAUUUAGUUAAUAAUUGAACACUAAUUUUUUAUUUUAUAGAAAAAGUUACAUACUGUUUUUUGUUGUCACUGCUAUUAUAUUGUUUGAUAUAUUUUCCAGAACCCUAUAAUCCCAAACAAAGAAAGAAAAAGAAAAAGGUAUAUAAUAAAACGGGUAACUUCAAUAGAAAAGAAUAUCCAAAAUUCUUAAGCUAAAUUACCCAGCGCUGCUACAGGGAUCGCGGUGGCCAUUAGAGAAAACAAUGUUGCUACCAAAUCUCUUUAAAACCACUCUUAUAUCCUGCAAAUUAAAAAGAAAUAAAAAUCAAACUCAAGAACGAGGUGAAGUUUUUAAUUUAAAAAAGGAAAGAAAAAGAGAAAAUUAAAAGAAUUAAUUUGGGGAUUAAUUGACACUUACAUGACCACCAUAAUAAGUUGUAAUCCAAUGUGGUCUUGGAACCACUCCAAAAGACUUAUUGCAUGAAUCCAUAUAUUCUGUCAGAUAAAAUGGGUAUGCUUGAAACAUUGUUUCCUUUUGGCCAAUUCCAAUUGGUGAGACCAUUUCACUGCAUGUCUACAUGAGAAACCCCCUAUAUUAAUAAUAAUAAUAAUAAGAUAAAGAAGAAAAAUAUUUUUAAUCAUUCAUAAAUAUAUAGUGUUAGAGUGCAAUUUAUGCACUAGUUUUGCAUUGUUUACUUCCCUUAAUAUCGAUGUUUUGCACUUAAUAAUAGUGAUUUACUUGUGUUUUACUUUUGUGGGUGCAGUUCUAUUGAUUUGUGAUAAAAUUGAGCUAUAAGAUGUUGUUUAAAGAUGAUUGUUCUCUUGGAGAAAUUUAGAGCGUCAGAAGAACUUUGUUGAUAAGGCGUGGGCGCGUGCUGUCAACUGCGGGCCUGCAGUUUUUAGUUUAACAUGUUUUGUAUUUUUGGUUAUUUUGUAAUUACGAAUUUAAUAUUUCAGUUAUUAGUAUUUUAUUUUAAAUAGAAUUCUAAAAGAGAAGAGAGAGAGAGUAUUUAAGGGAGGAAUCUAUUGUGAAAAAGGAGACUUUUGGAGAAGAGAAAGAAACCUUAGGUCUAAACUUUUCUCUUCUCUCUAUGAAGCACUAAACCUAUUUUUCUGGUUGAAGGAUAAUGAAGCUUUGAUUCAUCACUACUGUGAGAUCUAUUUUAUGCUUUAAUUGUUUUAUUGCUUUUUGGGUAUUUGUUUAUUCUCUGAAUUAUUUUCAUGAUUAUGUUUGUUAAUUAGGUAAUUGGCCACUAUUUAAUUAUCAACUUAAUCUAUUAUUAAUUAAAGGAUUCAUCGUAUGAAAAUUUUAAUGUUUGUGACAAAUAACAUACCAAUGAGUUGUGUUAUGAGAAUAAACAAUCUAAUUUAAAUGAAUCAUCGUAUGUGUUGAUUAGGAUUUGGGUCUCUCUGGUCUUUCAGGCUAUCAAUUGAUUAAAUCCUAUGAUCGUAUCUAGGAUUGUCUAUUGAUUAGGGAAAUAGCCAACGGUCGUACCUUGGUUAUCGACUAGUUAAGGAGAGAUUGGCUAUUAGAGGGUCUCAGUAGCUAUAACCGGUCUAUUCAUAAGUAAUAAUAAUCUAUAUUUGAAUCAAUGAUCAGUAAUCGAAUCUAGCUGAAUUAAUUCCUUCAACCAGAGCUUUCUCCAAUUUGAAUUACAACUUUAAUUUGCAUUCUUGUUAUUUUAAUUUGAUUUUUAUUAUUGUCAACAAAACCCCCAUUUUAUGUUUUACGUUUUAAAAGGAUUUAAAUAAUUACCGAUCUCUGUGGACACGACCCUGCUCAAUCACUAUACACAAUUUAUUUAGAGUAGGAAUUUAUUUUUGUUGGCUUCGACAACCAUCGUAUAGUCAUAUAAAUAAAAUUAAGAGAUGUACAUAAAAUAGGUAUUGUUAGGCGAAAGACUAAUUCAUUGCGACAUGUUGUUUAUUUGAUGGUCUCAAUGGAACUAUCCAAUGAAAUCACGUCAUCUGUAAUCGCACUUGAGCAGAGUUGAAAUAUCCACUAAGAGUUGCAUUCUGUAGGGCAUCUUUACAUGAUACAAAAGGCACCGAUUUUCCAUAGAACUGAUGCUGCACAAAAAAUCAAAUUAAAAAAUAUAUAUAUAUCACAACUUUUUAGUUGAUAUUAUAGAUUAAAUUUAUCUUUAUUAUUAUUGUUUCGCGUUCGAACUCUGUUUCAAUUAUUAUCAAAUUCUUUACUUACCUCUAUGUAAACUUGUAAGCCUUUAAAUCGAUGAGCAUUAUCAGUAACCUGGAUUUGUAUGUUAUUAGGAGGUCGUUGCUUAGAGAUUCCCAUGUCCACUCUUAGUGCCAAAAGACUUGGUCUUGAUGCACAGGUGACAAGUUUGUUGGGGAGUACAUUUGGACUCGCUAUCUUGAUUUAGUUCCAAACAUCAUAGCAUUUGGUUAUUUAUGUUGGUCAAAGUUCGCAAGUUCAGUUUGCGUGGUCAACUCAAGUAGACGAGAGAGUUGUGCAACUCUUGACCAUGCGUGCAAAUGCCAAUGUAUGUGGCUUUAAAAUUUGGCAGUGAGGACGUAUGAUCCCCCACAGCCUGGAAUCAAUGUGUGUCUGAAACCUUUUUUGAACGAAAACACGGAGCAAAUGUGAGCUUCUCGCAGGCUAAGGUUCCAAGAGAGGUUACAUAUGUUUACCAUGAAGUGUCAUAUGAACUUGUACAGAUUGAUUUCCGAUGUUUCUUUUUCCCGGUAAUUUCUUAUUUUAAAUCUUAUUGCUUGUCUUUGUGUAUGUGCGUUGGGCUGGAGGCUCCAUUGAAAUGGUGUUUCCUCAAAUUAUGAAUUAUAAUGCUCGUAAGUGUUAAUAUCAUCUCUUCUAGUCCAGCUUAUUAAGAAAGUCUUUCAGAAUCCUAUUCAAACAUAUUCCUUUUUUUUUUGUUUUUUGGAAGGAAAGAUUUUCUUGCUGGAAAUGUUGUUAAUUAACAAGGAUUCUGGUUGUAUUAACUAUUUUGUAAACAAAUUCUUUCAUCUGUACUACAAUAGCAGAUGACGGAGCUCACUGGGAAUAUUUUAUAUUUUUACCAUUGAUGUGAUAACUAAUAUAAGGCAUAAUGGUUUCUGUACCAUUUCCAGCCUCAGCCUGAUUCCAAUACUUGUGGAUCAAAGCAGAAAGUUGCCACACCACCUGUAGGUCCUGGAGAGCUUCCUUCAACGGGUUCAAACAAACCCAAGGAGUGGAGUUGUGCCCUCUGUCGGGUCAGUGCUACUACCGAGAGAGGUCUAGAUGAGCAUCUUCAAGGUAGGAAGCACAAGGCCAGGGUUUCAGGACUAAUUAGAGAUAAGAAAAUGUGCAGUAACUCCACUUCAUCCACGUCAAAAAAAUCUACUGAAAGCAGAGAUGGUGUUGGCCAAGAAAUGAAGACUAAAGUACAAGAGGAAUCAGUUAAAGCUAAUAAAACUGUUGUUGGUCUAGACCAGAAAGGGGAGGUUGGUCUAGAUGAGCAUCCUCAAGGUAAGAAGCAGAAGGCCAAGGAAGAAGAACUACUUGGAGCUCAGAAGUGGAUAAAAAAUCUAAUGAAAGCAGAGAUAGUGCUGGCCAAGAAAUGAAGACUAAAGUAGCAGAGGAAUCAGUUAAAGCUAAUAGAACUGUUGUUGGUUUAGACCAGAAAGAGGAGGGUUGUCAAGCCCUGCAGGUUAAGCCCUAUCCCAACCUUUGUGGAUCAAAGCAGGAAGCUGCCACACUACCUGCAGGUUCUGGUGAGCUCCCUUUGACCAGUUCAAGGAAACCCAUGGAUUAAAGCUGUGCCCUCUGUCAGGUCAGCACUACUCACAACAGAGAUCCAGAUUAGCAUCUUCAAGGCAAGAAGCACUAGGCCAAGGAAGGAGGACUACUUGGAGAUGAGAAGAUGUGCAGUAACUCCACUUCCAGAAACUCUACUGAAAACAGAGAUAGUGCUGGCCAGGAAAUUAAGGCUACUCUAGAAGAGGAAUCAGUUACACCGAAUAAAAAUAUCGUUGAUUUAGACCAGAAAGUGGAGGGUGGUCAAGAUGAGCAUCUUCAAGGUGAGAAGCACAAGGCGGAGGAAGCGGAGCUAAUUGGAGCUCAGAAGAUGUGCACUACCUCAUCUUCAUCGACAUCAAAAGAUUCUGGAAAGACAAGUAGACCAGAAAGUGGGUUAAGACCAGAAAGUGCUGGCCAAGAAAUGAAAGCUAAAGUAGAAGAGGAAUCAGUUAAAGCUAUUAAAACUGUUGUUGGUUUAGACCAGAAAGUGCAGGGUGAAGAAGAUUCAGAGAACAAAAAUAAGGAGCUGCUAAAGAAGGACUUGAAUGCAAACACUCAGAAGAUGACAAAUGGAAUACCGACUGGAGAGACGAUGAAGAGAAAACUUCCCCUUAGAGAGAAUUUCGAAUUCUGGUGUGAAGUUUGUCGAGGAGCUCAGAAGAAAUGAAGAGAAACUUCAUAUAUGCAUGGUUAUGACAUUGGACUCUUCGGCUCAAAGCAAAUUUUUCUUGAUCAUGACCUGACAUUAGUUUAUCUUUUGCUGGCAGGUAGUUGGCGGGAUAUCACUAACCACAACUUAUGCAGAAGCUUCCUAACAUCAGCGGUGGGUCCAGGAUGUUUGAUCGGAUCAGCUAAAUUAUUGUAUAUGUUUGUGUGAAUAUUUACAAAGGAGUGAAAAAACUAAUAUAUUAAAUAUCAAGAACCUCGUUCUGAAUGAAGUUUAUAUAUAUAAUUUGUAAAAUAAACUAAUAAUUAAAAUGACAAUUUACCCUUUUAACUCGUAGAGAUACAACCUUAAAUAAUAACAAGAGAGGAGCUCUCCAGGAUGCUUGUAGUGUCUAAAAAAUUAUCAUCAAUGAAAAUGGGAAUGGGAGGGCGUGGUGGGGUUGAUGAUCUAAGACUCUUUGCUCAUCACUGGUGGCCGUAAUAAUGGGGGCUUGGAGCACCUUCACUUCAACCCCCAGCAGCUCCUCGGCCUUUACCACUCAAUGAGCAAACCCUCUGGCGGCAGCAGCAUCUCCUGUGGCUAUCAUUGUUGCUGAACGAUAAAUUUGUGCUGCCCCUGAGAAGCUGAAAUUGCAAGAACAAGGCAGCAACUCAAAAACCAGCAAUCUUUUAAAUGUAAGCAAGCAUAAUAAUUAUUCAUAAAACGUUGAAACACAAAGUCCUGCUAGAUUCAAAAUUUAGAAGACUCGUGAUACAAUAAGAACUUAAAGUGUAUAUACGAUUAUGCAUUACAAGUGAAGUUGCAUGCUAUAUGAAGUUUUAAAAUAUGUCUCACUUUUCAAUGAUUUCUGGUAAAUCGCUAAUCCGAUAAUAUCAAAUAUCCUUCAUAAUCUUCAUCUUCCUCUUCUUCGUCGUCAUCGUCUUCUUUAGAUAUUUUUCCUCCUUCAACACCGUUAACCAUAUUUUUCAACUGCAAUGUCAGUUUGGAAGUAAUAUUUAUGAAGUUCAACAAGUUUCAAAUUUUGAUAUUGUUUGAAAUGUGAAUGAUAAGUACAACUUCUACCAUUAUUUAUAGAAAAAUAUGCAAUAUUGGCUUUGAGGAAAUAUAAUAAAGUUUACAAUUAAGAAAGGUGUAAUCCUAAAUCUCGAAAAAUCUGAUACUAAAUCUUAAAAUGUAAAUAUUUAAAUCCCGAAGAAUCCGAUGCAUAUUCUAACAGAUAGUGUUAUAAUUGUUGGAUUUACAUGGAGUCUAAUUAUAGUAUUAACGUUAGUACUCGAAUUCUCAUAUGAUCUAAACUUCUCUUGAGUAAAACUCACAUGGGAGAUUUGUGAUCCAUAAAUAAUUAUAUAAAAAAAAGAUAGUAAUUAAAUCAUAAUCGGGAGCGCUUAGAUCUUUUUUAUUUUUACUAUGAAGAGCUCAAUCGGGAGAAAAUUUAAAUUUUUAAGGGGAAAAAGCAACCCACACUCCCGAAGUUUGCUUAAAUAGUCACACAAACCCCCUUAAUUUCAUAAAUGAUGGAUUGCAUACCAUUAAGUCUAAAUUUCAUAAAUACUGUAAUAUUUUUAUCUAAUGAUGAAGAUAACGAUGAGAGGAGCUCUCUAGGAUGCUUUCCCAUUAGUACUUCUAGUGCCACCACUCCAAAGCUAUAAACAUCAGAUUUCUCCGUCACAACCAUGGUGUAGGCAAGUUCUGUAUGAAAACAGAAGCCUUUAUUAGUGAUGUUUCCUAAAUAAUAACAAGAGCAAUUUGUUUAUAUCUUUGAGCUUCUGCAGCAAGGUAUGACAGAGAACCAUAUGUUUUUAACUGAUAUUUAAAGUGUAUUUUUUUUUUAAAAAAAAGUGAAACUGGUAGGCAAAGUUCAAAUUCAUUUUUCCAGCUCUUUACCUAUUCAAAAAUUUGAACCUAAGUAGCUAAUUAAAUAAAACUGCUUAAAAAUUACUUAACCGAGUAUAUACAAAAAUUAAUUAAAAGAAUAAUUAAAGAAGCAGAAGAAGAAUAGCUAGAAGAUUACCAGGAGCAAUAUAUCCAUAAGUGCCAGCCAAUAGAGUUCGAUUGGAUGAGUCAAAAUUUAAUAAUCUAGCAACGCCAAAGUCAGCAACAAAUGCUUCUAAUUCUGAGUUGAGUAGAACGUUGUUGCUUGAUAUGUCGCGGUGAACAAUUGGUGGUGUGCAGUCAUGAUGCAAGUAUGACAAAGCAUGAGCCAUGCCCUUCACACCGUUCACCCUUUUAGUCCAAUCCAACCCAACAGCUUCCUCAUCUAUGCGUAGAAUACAUAACAAGCUUCCCAUUUCCAUGUACUCAUAGAUCAAGAACACGCAGUUCUCGUGCAAACAAAAGCCGUAAAGCUUUACGAUAUUUCGAUGCCGUAUUUGGGACAGUAGACGAGCCUCAUUCCGGAAACUCUCGAGGGAAGCUAACUCCUCAGUUUCUGAACGGUGAAGCUUCUUCAAAGCAACCACUUUUCCACUGGGCAGCCGUGCUCUGUAAACGCUGCCGUAGCCUCCGGUUCCAAUGCAGUAUUUGAUAUGGAAAUCCUCAGUAGCUUCAAUCAUGUCUUGAAAUGUAAUUCUACCGUCGUAAUUCCAAAUUGCAAACUCAUCAGCGCACUUGGUGAUUUCUUCUGUCUCAGCUGGUUCAACUCUCUUAUCCCUUCGUCUACGGACAAACAAGAUUCCAAAUAUCAAGGCAAGGAAUGCGACCAUAGGGAGAAUAAUUGCAACCAAGCGAGUGACAAUCUUUUUGUGAUGUGGCGGUGGCGAAUUUGCCGAAGUAUUUGGGAUUUCUACCUCGAAAUUGUUGCCUGACACAUAUAAGAGAGGCACUUUUUUGACAGAUUCAGGGAUGCUACCGGAAAGGCUAUUCAUGGAAAGGUUCACGGUAUCUAUGCGUCGAAUUUCUCCAAGCUGGGAAGGUAUUUUACCAUUAAUCAAGUUAUGGCUUAAAUCAAGAUAAUUUAGUUCUUGAAGUUUGCCAAUCUCUGACGGAAUGCUUCCGCUUAACAAGUUGUUUCCCAAUAUUAAUAUCCGCAGCUUUGAGCAAUUCAUGAGUUCUGGAGGAAUUGGACCAUCAAGUUUGUUGUUGUACAUAUUUAAAGUAGUUAGCUGAGUCAAAUGACCCAGGGACGACGGGAUUGGACCAACAAGUUUGUUUUCGGACAAUUCUAAAUCUGUCAACCUAUUUAAAUGACCAAGUGUUAAAGGAAUAGAUCCAGUUAGAUUGUUAUAUUCCAGGGACAGAGAUGUCAAGUUGACUAAACCAGCUAUGGUGGAAGGAAUUGGACCUUCAAGUUUGUUGUCGGACAGGUCAAGAACUUGAAGAAAGUUCAAAUUCCCGAUUUCUAAUGGGAUGGAACCAUUGAUUAGGUUUGAGUGCAUAUAAAAAGUAGUUAGCUGAGUCAAAUGACCUACAGACGAAGGGAUUGGGCCAACAAGUUUGUUCUGGGACAAGUCUAAACUUCUCAACCUCUUUAAAUGGCCAAGUGUUUGAAGGAAUUGAACCUCCAAUUUCAUUUCAGGACAGGUCAAGAACUUGAAGAAAGUUCAAAUUCCCGAUUUCUAAUGGGAUGGAAACAUCAAUGUGGUUUGAGGCAAUAGCCAAAGUAGUUAGAUGGGUUAGAUGACCUACAAUGGAGGGGAUAUUACCAACAAGGGAGUUAGAAGACAAGUGCAAAUUUUCCAAUUUGCUUAGACGACCAAGAGUUGGAGGGAUAUAUCCCCAGAGGAAAUUAUCAGAUAGAUCCAGGUGGACGAGAUUCCUCCAUCUCCCCAUCUCUGAAGGGAUAAUUCCUGUUGCGCAUGUGAUUUAUGAAAAACGAGAUCAGUAUUCACUAUCCUCAUAGAAAUAAAAUUUAUAAAGAAAUGCUUAGGUUGUAAAAAUUAAUAGAUUUUUUAGUGCUCUAAUAGUUUUUUUUUUCUUAUUUUUUGUUGGGGCUCGUCAAUGCUGCAAAUUUUAGACUGAAAGUUAAAUCUGCAGAUGCAACAAAUAUAUCAAUAAAUUAAUACAAAACUAUGGAGAUUAGAGAGAAUCACUCUCAGUGCUCUCAAUUGACUACCCUAUUGUUGUGCAAAUUUUAAUGAACUCGCAAGCGCACGAAUCUAUUGUAGUAUAGACUAAUGGUGACGAGUGUCGAUCCCACGAGGAGGUGGAUUUUAAUUAUAUAUAGAAUUAAUUUUGUAAAUGGGUGGUUGGAAUUGUGGUGGAAGUGAUUUAAAUUAUCCUAAAAUUGGAAUUGAAAUGGCGAUAAUAAAUUCUAAAAUUGGACUUGCAAUGGCGAGAAUAAAUUGAAGAGAAAUCUAUUAAAAUGACUUAUUUGGGUAUCUGGAUCCGUAUCAACAUGCAUCAUGGGCUAAAUAUUCCUUAUUAAUGCCAAUUAAAUCAUGAGGGGGGAAUCCACACCUCAUGAACCACGCUCUAAUCAAUAUGGUGCUAAGGGCUUAUCGUGCCAAAUAAUAAUAACCUUGUACUAGAGGGCCGGUGAAACCAAGGCGGUACUAGACAAGAUUAGUAUUAUUUGUCGACGAGAAGUCAAAACAUCCACAAAAACUAGAGGGGAAGAGAAAAUAAAUUUACCAAAUUAAGCCCAUGACACAUGUUGAGACUUCACCUUCAACCCAAGCUUGAAAGAAAAUUAGCCACUCAUAAUUGAACUAGGGGCAAAAUGAGAAUUUAUUAAAAUACGAAGAAAAUACAAGAUAAAGAAGGAAUUACAGAAAAUAAAGUCCAAAAAUGGAUUCAGCGAUAUCAAAUUAGGGGGGGGAGGCCCCCUUUUUAUAGAUACAUGGAGUAAAUUAUGGCCAUCGGAUUAAAAACAGUUUGGACGCUCAGGAUUACGCCACGUCAUCAGUCAACAGUCCACGGUUUGACCACGUGGAUGAACAGUAAUACGGUUUGACUCGGAUGAACAGUAACGCGGUUUGGUUGAAAAUAAUCCUGUGUGAUGCAUGUACCGUACGCGAGAUUUUUCGUCCACUGAUAUGCUGCCACGUCACCAUCAACAGUACAUAAGAAUUUUAGCCCAACAGGAUCGUGACACCUCAUCAGUCAAUGCCACAUCAUCAUCUGUCUAUGUGAACAGUGUCGUGAACAGUAACGUAUAUACAGUACCGUACACGUGAAUAGUACCGUACAUGUGAUCAGUGCCAUUUUUCUUUUUAUGCUUCUCCUAAGGUUUUCGACCGUCCUGAGUUCAAAAGUGAUGUCCGUUUUGCCAUCUGAUUUCUCGUUUAUUGUGAAAUGACUAUGAUGCCCCUAAAAUACAUAAAAUACUUAAUUAAAAUAAAACACAUGUAAUUAAAUCACAAGAAAGUUAAAUACAUAAAAGUAAGGGUUGUUAAUAAGACUUGAAAUGUAAAAUGACGGUUUUCUCCUUUAUAAAUAUGCAUUUUCUAACACUCAACACACCCCCCAACCAGUUUAUUGCUAGUCCCUAGCAAAUAAAGCGAAAACAAAAAAAAUAAUUUUUUUUAAUAGAAACACUCAUAUUUAUUCCAUCAGAUUAAUGAUAGCAAUUAAAUAAAAGUAUAAGCAUUAUCUCCAGUCUAAAGCAACAUCACACCCACAUCAACCAUCCACAUGAAUCAGCCCAGUAGACUUUGUCAUAGCUACUUUCAAGAAUGACAUGUCAAACCCCAAACUGGAAGUAGUGACACUCUCACAAAGAAAUUAAAACCAAUAAAAAUAGUCACUCCAAUGAAUGGUAAUUGAGAGAGAAAAUAAUAAAGAAGUGAUAUCACAUGCUCUCACCAAAAUGAAAUAAAUAUGCCCUCAGCUUAGAAAUAAUACGAUCUCAAGUCAAAUAAAAAUGCUAGUUAACCCAAUUUAUUUGUCUUAUUUAUUUAUUUAUUUAUUUUUAUUAUGCAGCACUACAUCUUUUUAGCUCAUAUAACUAGCUUCUACUUCAGACUAUAGUUCCCUAAACUCAAGAAGGACUUUUAUUAGGACGUACCGUAGGUUAGGGACAUGGUUAACAAAGAAGGGAAAUAAGGAAAAUAAAGUGUAUGUUUGAGAAAAAAAAAUUGCAGGGAUUUUUUUUUUUUUGGAAGUUGCAAGGUGGAUUUCACCUAUUGUUGUUAUUUUUUUAUUUUUUAUUUUUCUUUUGAAACAACAAUUUUUGUUUUUUUGUUUUUUGUUUUUUUUUUACUUUUAUUUGGCAUAACUUCACUGAACAAAAAUACUUAUUUACAUUUUUCUCAAACAUAAAUAGGUGAUGGAACUUAUAAGACAUUGGGUAAUACUCCAAAUCGGAGUGGGUCAAGAUAAGUUAAACAAAUAAAAGGUUUUUUUUUUUUUUAAAAAAAGGCUCAAAAUGGUUAACUAUGGAUAUUUCACAAAAGGGAUGGCUAGAAAGGCUCAAACGGAUCAAAGAUGGCCUUUCCAUCGUCUUUUAGGGCUCUAAAUAAUCAUCCAUAUCUACUAGUUAGAUGGGCCUCCCAAUGUAGCAACAUACAUUUUUUUUUCUUUUUCUUUUUUUUUUAUUUUACCAUUUUUUUUAAGGGUUAACUCAAAAGAAAUCUAGAGAUCGUGUAUAAAAUAAUAAACUGCUAAGCUGUAUAGAGAAUGGGCAAAAGGGUUACUCUCCAAGAAAAUGAUAGGCUCAACAACUCACUUGGCAUUUAUUUAUAGCAUGUUCAUUCCUUCAAGCAACUUAUAUUUGUCUCCGACAUCAACAUGUAAAGUAGCAAACAUAGCGUAACAUCACUUAAGACUAAAGAUAAUACAAAUACUAAAAUUUGAAAUUAAUCAUGUCAUCCAAUGUUAAAACAAAUCACACAAAUUAUUAUUAUUAUUUUUUAAACAACAUUCUACCCCCCAACCUAUUCUAAGCAUGAAAGGAAAAUAUGCAUGCAGAAAUGUGAAUAUGAUGCAGAAAAACUAAUUAGAAAAGUUACACUUAAAAUGAUGGAAAACCAAAAUGAUUUUUUUUUUAAAGAAGAUGCGUUUCUAGAGGAACUACACUCCAUAUUCAGCCAUCUUCGACUCACAAGUUGGAAAAUGUAUAUUUAUAGAGGAGAAAUUAAAAAGAAGAAAAAUAAACAUAAAAACAUAAUACAGAAAAAGAAAAUGUCUGAAAUUUUUUUAAUUUUUUUUUAAUUUCUUUAACGAUGAAGAUGCGUUUCUAGAGUAACUAUACUCCAUAUUCAGCCAUCUUCAACACAAAAAGUUAGCAACAGUUAGUUUCUACAACAAAAAAUUAGUAAAAACUUAACCAAAAUUCCACAUUUGUCGACUAUUCCCUCCCCCCAACCAGAACGAAACAUUAUCCUCAAUGUUUUAAAGGAAAGAAGUAGAGUUUAGAAGACAUCACCUGGGUGGUGCAACACAGAAGAAAAUAUUUAUAGGCGGAGAGUUAAAUCUAAUUUUUACUUCUUACUGCGGCUACUGUUACCAUCAUUAUUUGGAGGCUCCAACCCCAACACAAAGGUCUAGGGGUCUGGGUCCGGUUUAUAAGCUUGUAACAGAUCAAGUAGCUCAUUAGCAGUGUGAGCACAAAUAAAGAGUUUUUUCGCAUUAGGGGGAAUGAAAUAGUUUUUUAUUGCAUGGUUAAGAAAUGCGAUAAAGCCAUCAUAAAAGUUAUUGACAUUUAACAAACCGAUGGGUUUCUGGUGGAUGUACAGAUGGGCCCAAGAUGCUAGUGUGAUAAGUGCCUCUAGUGUUGCAAGAUCUCCUGGAAGGAAAAUAAAAGCAUCAGCAUGAUUAAGCAUUUCAGUUAUUCUUUCUUGCAUACCUGAGACGACUAACUCUUCUCCAGUUGAUGAGUCAAACGAACUACCCAAAGGUUUUAGGGCUCUUGGGAUGAUGCCUAACACUUGGCUGCCUCUGAUAAAAGCUGCUUCUGAGACCAUUUUUGUUAACCCUCGAUUACCUCCUCCAUACACCAAGUGUAAUUUUCUCGCUGCUAUGCUGCGACCAAGAUCUAUGGCUGCCUCAACAAACUCUUUAUGUUUGCCAUAUGAAAAUCCAGAAAGCACACAAAUGUUCUUGAAUUGUCUAUUUGGAGUAGCUGCCAUUGGGAUACUUCUCAAAAAAUAAUUUGUUAGUGCUUGACAAAAAAAAUCACAUUUAAGAGUCUUGGUGACAAUGGGUCACAGUUGUGUAUGAGGUAACAUGUCAGUGUCAAAUAACGCGUAAAGCACGUGGCUCGCGAGUCAAAAAGGAAACAGUAAAAAGGGAAAAAGAAAACAAUAAUAAGGAAAAAGCAAACAGUAAUAAAAUUAUUAAAGACAAUAAUGCACACAGUAAAACAAUAGUGAAAUAAAAUAACAGUAAAGUGAAAGGAUAUUUACAGGUAGUUGCGACUGUGGCUCACAUCUUCCUCUGGUUUUACGUCCAGAAACGGCUUGAACGCCCUCUAUGGGUCGAGGAUAGGCUUCAUAUCCAGUUUUCUUAUAAAUUGGCAAACAGGGUCGUUUAUAGUCAGAUUCCCGAGACUAUAUCGUGCAUGCUCUUUCUGGAAUAAUGGCCAUAACUGGAGAAUCGCUCCUUGCACAUAUCCACUGGGAUGCGUUUCAAGAGGCAAAAGGAUAUCAUCCAAUGACUCCUUAUUCAAGCCAUCCUUAAUGAAUUGAAUCUUAUCUUCCCUGUUAUCAGACAUCAUUCCUAAAGAACAUGGGUUUUUAUUGCAACUCAUUCUGGCACACUUAUGACAAGCAACAGAAAUUCUUCGAGCUCGUCAUUUUCUUGCAUAAUUUCCUUUACCACAACCAGGCAUGUAUGUAAUAAAUUUUGGAGGUAACUCACCUGUCGAUCGUACUUUAGCCUCGAUUAACCAACGGAUGUCAGCAGGUAUGUUAUUCCUCAAGAGUAAUCGGAUGCGUUCGGACCGAACUUUAUAGAUCGUAAGGAGGGCACUCUGACGAAGUAAAGGGAAUCGCUUGUGAAGCUUCGCUAGAAUCUCGUUUCUGUCCAUACUUUCGCCUCAGAAUAUUAGUUAUUAUGGGAAACUGAAGUAACCGACUUGAUUGUCACGGAGUACCGUUAUCCGCCACUUCACCGGGGUAACAAACUAAAGCACACAAAUAGAAAAACAAAUUAAAACACACAAAGAAAAUUAAAAUCGUCCUCUUAUUGAAUUUACCUCAAGCUCCAACUGGAUGUCAUAAACACUUCUCUCAAUGUCUCUGAGUUGGCUUUCUAAACCCUCAACAUAGGCUACUAACUCUGGUGGUUGUAGAGUCCAAAUACGAUGUGUUUUACAAAAUUGAAUCUGUCUUUUGAGAUGAGUUUUGACACGUUAAAGUGGUUUAAGAAUGUUCAGGAGGAACGGUCUAAGUAUGAGACUCAUGAUUAACAAUGAUAAGAGAAAACUUACUAGUUAAACAAACACACUUAUGCAAAAAUAAUUUCAAUUAGCAAAAGAAUAAUAUAAAGAAAGAAAGAAAAAUCAAAUCAACGAAAAGAAAAAUCAAUUCAAAUCUGGUGGGUCACUCAAAUUUAUUUCGGUGUCUUCUCCAUGUGGUUGGUAUUCUAGAUAUGGUUUUAAUCUUUGACCAUUAACUUUAAACGUGACACCGUUCUUUGGGUCCUUAAUUUCAAUUGCCCUAUGUGGAAAAAUAGUAUGAACAAUAAAUGGGCCAGACCAACGAGAGCGUAACUUACCUGGGAAUAGGUGCAAACGAGAAUUGAAUAAAAGCACUUUCUGACCUGGAGUGAAAGAUUUUCUCAUAAUUUGCUUGUCAUGGAAGGCUUUCAUUCGUUGCUUGUAAAUCUUGGCAUUUUCGUACGCGUCAUUGCGAAUUUCUUCAAGUUCUGCCAGCUGUAAUCUUCUUUCUGAGCUGGCUUGCUGCAUGUCAAAAUUGAAUUUCUUGAUGGCCCAAUAUGCACGAUGCUCGAGUUCCACAGGUAGGUGGCAAGCUUUUCCAUACACUAGCCUGUAGGGUGACAUCCCAAUCGGGGUCUUGAAAGCCGUUCUAUAUGCCCAUAAUGCACCAUCAAGUCUUAAUGACCAAUCUUUCCUGUCUGGCCUCACUGUCUUUUCUAAUAUGUGCUUUAUUUCUCGAUUGGAAAUCUCAACUUGGGCACUGGUUUGCGGAUGAUACGGGGUCGCCACUUUGUGUGUGAUUGAAUACUUUGUCAAAAGAGCCUUGAAUGGUUUGUUACAAAAGUGGGCACCACCAUCACUGAUUAUUGCUCGAGGGAAUCCAAAGCGCGAAACAAUGUUGCUUUUCAAAAAUCCUAUCACCACCUUGUGAUCAUUGGUCCUACAUGAAAUUGCUUCUACCCAUUUCGAUAUGUAGUCAACAGCAACCAAUAUGUAUUGAUGGCCAAAAGAAUGGGGAAAGGGUCCCAUGAAGUCGAUACCCCAUACAUCAAAAAUCUCAACCACUAAAAUUGGAUUUAGUGGCAUCAUGUUCCUUCGUGUAAUGCUCCCCAUUCGUUGACACCUAUCACAUGAAGAACAAAAAGUGUAAGCAUCUUGAAAUAUAGUUGGCCAAUAAAAACCACAUUGUAAAACUUUAGUUGCUGUUUUCUUAGCACUGAAAUGGCCUCCACAAGCUUGUUCAUGGCAGAAUGAAAGAAUAUUCUGAAUUUCAUUUUCUGGGACAUAUCGUCUAACAAUUUGGUCUGCACAAUACUUGAACAAAUACGGGUCAUCCCAAAAGAAAUUCUUUAUCUCUGCAAAUAAUUUAGCCUUAUCUUGCUUGGUCCAAUGCUCUGGAAGUUUACCUGUAACAAGAUAAUUAACUAUAUCACCAUACCAAGGCAAUACUUCCGCACUCAUUAAUUGUUCAUCUGGAAAUGACUCAUUCAAUAUUAAUGGCUCUGUAAUUGUGUCAAAAUGGAGACGAGAGAGGUGGUCCGCCACAACAUUUUCUGUCCCUUUCUUAUCUUUGAAUUCCAAGUCAAAUUCCUGCAAAAGUAACACCCAAUGAAUUAGUCUGGCUUUUGCAUAUUUCUUUAUGAGAAGAUAUUUAAGAGCAGCAUGAUCCGUGAAUAUAAUUAUUUUACAACCAAUGAGAUAGGAUCGAAAUUUUUCCAAUGCAAACACUACUGCUAGCAUUUCUUUUUCAGUAGUUGAAUAAUUCAACUGGGCAUCAUUUAAUGUCAUACUAGCAUAGUAAAUAACGUGGGGAAUUCGAUCAACUCUUUGUCCUAAUACUGCUCCUACUGCAUAAUCAGAUGCAUCACACAUGAGCUCAAAUGGUAAGUUCCAGUUCGGGGACUGAAUGAUGGGUGAUGAUGUCAAUAAAUGCUUUAAUUUUUCAAACGCAACAAGACAUGAAUCAUCAAAGACAAAAGGUACAUCCUUAGCAAGUAGAUUGCAUAAGGGUCUAGAAACUUUGCUAAAAUCUUUAAUGAAACGUCUAUAGAAACCAGCAUGCCCAAGGAAAGAUCUUACUUCUCUGACUAUUUUGGGUGGAGGAAGAUUAGAAAUGAGAUCCACUUUAGCUUUGUCAACCUCAAUACCAUUGCUCGAAAUAAUGUGACCAAGAACAAUACCUUGUUUUACCAUAAAAUGGCACUUCUCCCAAUUUAAGAUCAAGUUCUUCUCAAUACAUCUCUGCAGAACUAGUGUUAGAUGAUGUAAACAUUGAUCAAACGAAUCACCAAAGACAGAAAAGUCAUCCAUAAAGACUUCAAGGAAUCGUUCAACCAUAUCAGAAAAAAUGCUCAACAUGCAUCGUUGAAAUGUAGCAGGUGCAUUACAUAAUCCAAAUGGCAUUCUCCUAUAUGCAAAAGUGCCAAAAGGGCAAGUGAAAGUGGUUUUCUCCUGAUCUUUUGGUGCUAUGGGGAUCUGAUUAUAUCCUGAGUAGCCAUCUAAAAAGCAAUAAAAUUCAUGACCUGCUAAUCUAUCAAGCAUUUGAUCAAUAAAUGGUAAAGGAAAAUGGUCUUUACGUGUGACAGAAUUCAACUUUCUAUAAUCAAUGCAUACACGCCAUUCUGUAGUUACUCUAGUUGGUAUCAAUUCAUUAUCAGCAUUCAUAACUACUGUGACUCCUGACUUUUUAGGGACAACUUGUACAGGACUGACCCAUGAACUAUCAGAAAUUGGGUAAAUGAUACCUGCGUCUAAUAGCUUAAGGACUUCAGUUCUAACAACUUCUUUCAUAUUAGGAUUUAACCGACGUUGCAUUUCCCUAGUAGAUUUAGCAUUUUCAUCGAGGUGAAUGUAAUGCAUGCAGUCUACUGGGUUUAUACCUUUCAUGUCUGCUAUAGUCCAUCCUAAUGCUCCUUUGUGCUCUUUUAAAACAUCCAACAACUUACCUUUUUGUUCGUCAUUGAGGGAUGAUGAGAUGAUUACCGGCAGAGUGCUUUCUUCUCCCAAAAAUGCAUAUUCCAGAGUGUUGGGUAAUGGUUUGAGCUCGAGUUUCGGUGGUGAUUCUGAUGAUGGGAUGAGUUUCUUCUCUGAUGGUGCUAGUUGUUCAACUCUUGACUUCCAUUUAUUAGUGUCCAUGGAUGGUGCUAAGUCAAGUAGGGCAUUGACCUCAUCGACCGAUCUGUUAAUAUUAAAAUCAAAACCAAAGUGAGUUAAACAUGUUUGUAAAGGAUCAUCACUAAGGUUUGAAAGAAAAGUGUUAUCAACUAUUGUUUCAAUUAAAUCCACAUCAAUAAUUCCAUCAUCUGCAUUGUGAGGUUGUUUGGCAAUGUUGAAGAUGUUCAGUUCCAUAGUCAUAUUGCCGAAGGACAACUGCAUAUUUCCAGUUCUGCAUUGAAUGUGAGCAUCCGCAGUUGCCAAGAAAGGUCGGCCUAGGAUAAUGGGGAUGUGCUUCCUUGAAUCCUGUAUUGGUUGAGUGUCAAUUACAAUGAAAUCAACAGGAAAAUAGAACUUGUCUACCUGGAUAAGCACGUCCUCCACAAUACCACGAGGUAUUUUUGUGGACCAAUCUGCAAGUUGUAACACCAAUGGAGUUGGGUGUAAUUCUCUCAAUCCAAGUUUCACGAAUACUGAAUAAGGCAACAGAUUUACACUAGCUCCUAAAUCCAACAAAGCAUUCUCAAUUGUGUGGUUCCCUAUACUGCAUGAGAUAGUGGGGGAGCCUGGGUUUUUGCAUUUUAAAGGAAUUUUAUGUUGGAGUAUAGAACUAACGUUUUCUGUUAAAAAUGCCUUCUUUUGAACAUGUAUAUUUCUCUUUUUAGUACAAAGGUCUUUAAGAAACUUGGCAUAAGAUGGAACUUGUUUAAUAGCAUCAAGCAAAAGGAUGUUAACACUUACCUGUUUGAAGAUUUCAAGAAUCUCACCUGUGGAUUUUCCCUUUUUUCCUUUAGCUAAUCUCUGAGGAAAUGGAGCUUUGGGAACAUAUUCCCGUGGGUUGGUUUUUUCUUUCUCCUCCGGUGAUGAGUCCUCAAGACUCACAUGUACAAUUUGAUUUUCUUUUGUCACCGACAUCUCCACUUUGUUGUCGACUUCUUUUCCUUUUCUCAAGGUCAUAACUGCUUUGACUUCUCCAUGCUGUUGUAGUGAACUGGUACUUGCUUCAUGCACUCCUUUAGGAUUAGGCACUGGUUGACUUAGAAAUUUACCUUUCCCAACAGUCAUUGCCAAGGUCUGAACUGAAGAAGCCAGUUGUCCCACCAUCUUCUCGAGGCUUGAAACUGAUUGGGCUUAUGAGUUGAAGCCCGCUCUCAAUUCAUUUCGUAGUCCAUCAAUGGUGCGGUUCUGUUGCUCAAUCGUGGAGUGAAUAACAUUCUUGAAAUUCUGGAAUGCAUCCUCCCAUGGUCUGGGUUGAGAGUAGUUCUGGUUUUGAUUGUAUGGACUAAAUGGGGGCUGAGAGGCUUAAGGAUUUUGUGGAAUUUGUUGCAUUGGUGUAGCUGGAGCUGCUGGUCCAUUCUGUUGGAAUCCUUGAGACCAUGAAAAAUUAGGGUGGUCUCUCCAUCCAGGGUUAUAUGUGUUGGAGUAUGGGUUGUAAUUUGAUGGCUUUCUCAUUACACCUAUGGCAUUGGCUUGAUCUGAGUAUAAGUCAUGGUCAUGUGGCUCUGUUGAUUUAGCAGUCGAUAACGAUGCUAUUUGUCGAGCAAGACCUUCAACCAUCUCCUUGACUUCUUUGAUUCCCGAAGUUGACUCGCCAAUUUGAACCUCAUUCACUCCUUUAAUUCUUCUAGUAUUCCGGAGUGAUCGACUCCGUUGUUGGGAAUUAUCCGCUUGUCGUUGAAAGAAUUCCCAAAUCUCUGAUGCACUUUUUGACAUUAGCUCUCCUCCACUUGUUGCCAUUAGCCAUUCCUGCACAUUCGGCAAUAAUCCCUCCAAAAAGUAUUGGCAUUGGUGCCAUUUCUCGUACCUAUGAUGUGGACACUUCAAGAGUAGCCAAUUGAAUCGUUCCCACGUUUCGAAAAACUACUCGUCUUCUCUCUGUGUAAACUCUGAAAUUUCCCUGCGAAUAGCAUUGGUUUUAUGCACUGGGAAAUAUUUAUUCAAAAAUUUUGUAACCAUUUGUUCCCAUGAUGUGAUGCUAUUAGCAGGCAAAGUAUUUAACCAUGAACGAGCUCUAUCCUUUAAAGAAAAUGAGAAUAAUCUGAGUUUAACAUCAUCGUUUGAAAAAUUUUCAUAUUUAAAAGUUUGACAAAUUGCAUGAAAAUCAUUCAGAUGAUUAUAUGGGUCCUCAUUUUCUAGGCCAUAAAAUGUUGGGAGACAAUUUAGCACACUGGGUUUUAAUUCAAAACUUCUAGCAGCUACAUUUGGGUAUCUUAUGCAUGAUGUGCUCAAAUUAGCUAAGGGACUAAAAUAGUCCUUAAAUGGCCUCUCUUGUGGUGCUUGUAAAUCCAUUCCAAUUUUAUUUUUAAUGUGCUUUUGUGUGCGAAGUAUUUUUCAAGUUCAAGGUCUAUAGGUUCAAGAUUGGGUAAUAAUGACCUUCGACCAUGCAUGCAAAACAAAUAAAAUAAAAAAUAAAGAUGGGAACAAAAUAAAUAAAAAUAAAGAAAAAGAAGAAAUUACGAUACUAACCUUAUUGCGCUAUUACAACCUUUCUAUAAAAAUACACAAAAAUAAAUACGUGAAAUAAAUUAACUAAAAAUUAAAUUAAUUAAAUAAAAAAAUUACAAAGAAAAAUAAAUUGAAAAUUAAAUCACAGAAUUUUAAAGAAGAGAAAAAGAAAAGAAAUACUAACCUUUAAAUGUAGAUUCACUUUUUUUUUCUUUUUUUUUAAUAAAAAUAAAAAAAUACAAGAAAACAAAUAAAAGAAAUUAUUCACAAAAAUUAAUUCUAUGAAUUAAAAGUACUUACCUCCCCGGCAACGGCGCCAAAAACUUAUUGUGCAAAUUUUAAUGAACUCGCAAGCACACGAAUCUAUUGUAGUAUAGACUAAUGGUGACGAGUGUCGAUCCCAUGAGGAGGUGGAUUUUAAUUAUAUAUAGAAUUAAUUUUGUAAAUGGGUGGUUGGAAUUGUGGUGGAAGUGAUUUAAAUUAUCCUAAAAUUGGAAUUGAAAUGGCGAUAAUAAAUUCUAAAAUUAGACUUGCAAUGGCGAGAAUAAAUUGAAGAGAAAUCUAUUGAAAUGACGUACUUGAGUAUCUGGAUCCGUAUCAACAUGCAUCAUGGGCUAAAUAUUCCUUAUUAAUGCCAAUUAAAUCAUGAGGGGGGAAUCCACACCUCAUGAACCACGCUCUAAUCAAUAUGGUGAUAAGGGCUUAUCGUGCCAAAUAAUAAUAACCUUGUACUAGAGGGCCGGUGAAACCAAGGCGGUACUAGACAAGAUUAGUAUUAUUUGUCGACGAGAAGUCAAAACAUCCACAAAAACUAGAGGGGAAGAGAAAAUAAAUUUACCAAAUUAAGCCCAUGACACAUGUUGAGACUUCACCUUCAACCCAAGCUUGAAAGAAAAUUAGCCACUCAUAAUUGAACUAGGGGCAAAAUGAGAAUUUAUUAAAAUACGAAGAAAAUACAAGAUAAAGAAGGAAUUACAGAAAAUAAAGUCCAAAAAUGGAUUCAGCGAUAUCAAAUUAGGAGGGGGAGGCCCCCUUUUUAUAGAUACAUGGAGUAAAUUAUGGCCAUCGGAUUAAAAACAGUUUGGACGCUCAGGAUUACGCCACGUCAUCAGUCAACAGUCCACGGUUUGACCACGUGGAUGAACAGUAAUACGGUUUGACUCGGAUGAACAGUAACGCGGUUUGACUCGGAUGAACAGUAACGCGGUUUUGUUGAAAAUAAUCCUGUGUGAUGCAUGUACCGUACGCGAGAUUUUUCGUCCACUGAUAUGCUGCCACGUCACCAUCAACAGUACAUAAGAAUUUUAGCCCAACAGGAUCGUGACACCUCAUCAGUCAAUGCCACAUCAUCGGUCAAUGCCACAUCAUCAUCCGUCUAUGUGAACAGUGUCGUGAACAGUAACGUAUAUACAGUACCGUACACGUGAAUAGUACCGUACAUGUGAUCAGUGCCAUUUUUCUUUUUAUGCUUCUCCUAAGGUUUUCGACCGUCCUGAGUUCAAAAGUGAUGUCCGUUUUGCCAUCUGAUUUCUCGUUUAUUGUGAAAUGACUAUGAUGCCCCUAAAAUACAUAAAAUACUUAAUUAAAAUAAAACACAUGUAAUUAAAUCACAAGAAAGUUAAAUACAUAAAAGUAAGGGUUGUUAAUAAGACUUGAAAUGUAAAAUGACAGUUUUCUCCUUUAUAAAUAUACAUUUUCUAACACUCAACACCUAUCCUGUAAAUACAAAAGUAAAUUUAGUAAAUUAAUGAGGAACUGUGUAUGUGUGAAAUUAAAAAUAGUGCUUUUGAUUUGUAAUCAUAUCUUUUAUAGGAUAUAUUCAUUGUCUACAUAUUUUAAUUUAUGUGUAGAAAAUUAGAUAUAUUCAAUGUCUAAUCUGAUUCUACACAAAGACUAAUGCCCCAAGAUUGUGUAGGGGUGUUCAUAAUCCAAUCCGAUCCGCUCAAUCCGUCUGAUCCGUGAAAAUCCGAUCCGUGGAUCCGUGAAUUGGAUAUGGAUUGAAAAUUUAAAAAUCCGCAGUCGAUGGAUUGGAUAUGGAUUUACUUCUAUAAAUCCGUAAAAAUCCGUGAAUCCGCAAAAUAUAUAUAUAUAUAUAUAUAUAUAUACAUUUAUUUAGUUAAAAAAUUAUUAUAAAUUUAAUUAAAGAAUAUUAUAAAUGUGACAUUACAUAGUUACAUAAGCACUAUAAUAUGUCUUAGCUAUUACCCAAUAAUAAUAUUAAAUAAUUAAAUAAUCAAAUAUACAAAUAUAACUUGUAAAAAUUGUAAAACAAAAUAAAAGCAAAGUCACACGCACUAGCAAAAACAAAGUAACAUAACGCCAAGUUACCAACAAUUUGCAAAGUCACCCAAAAGCAAAGUAACAUAACACCAAGUCACCAACAAUUUGCAAAUAAAAAACCUUAAGCUUCCUUGUUGUCACAUGCAAUAGCAACACUCAAUACUGGUUCGAUACACUCUCGACACUGAUUUGAAGGACGUCGGCCGCACGAUUCCAGCAAGAGCAAGCCAUCUUCUUCCCCGAGCCCAUCGAGCCACUUCACAAUCACUGGUUCCAGCCAAACAAUUGCACUAUCACAACCUUCAAGAUCAUCACCCGUACUUCUCCUAGUUCCAAUAGUUGACGGCUCCAUAAUCACCACUUUUCGACAAGUAUAACAGCCCUGGUGAAGGAUCAUACUGUGUUUGGUUUCAGAAACUUCACCAUUUCAAUUAAUUGUGACUUUAUUUGAAUAAUUAAUUUCGGUGUUAUAUUAAUGUAUUAUUGUAACUUUAUUUGAACAAUUAAUCUCGAUGUACUAUAUUUUGAAACUUUGAAUGUAUUAUUUUAGUUUUAUUUAAAUAAUUAAUUUGUUUAAAAUUUAUUCAAUUUUAAAUUUAAUUGGUAAUAAAAUUAUUUUUAUAUUAGAUUUUUUUUUUAAUUUCAUUAGUUCAUGGAUUGGGGAGAACUAAAAAUUUUUAAUUCGGAAGCUAAUGCGUAAAAUGGUGGAUUGGAUAUGGAUUAAGUUAAAUCCGCAUCCGAUCCGCAUACGUAUGGAUUGGAUAUGGAUUGAGUCAAAUCCGCAUCCGAUCUGCAGACGUAUGAAUUGGAUUUGGAUUGAGUUUAAUCAAUCUGUGGAUUGGAUUGGAUUGAAAAAUUAUAAUCCGCAAAAUUGUGGAUCGGAUAUGGAUUGAUGUCCAAUCCGUAAAAUCUGAUCCGCGAACAUCCCUAAGAUUGUGAUUGAAAUGCUAUAAGCAACUUAUUUUAUAAGUUUAGAUAAAAAUGAAGUUUGAUGGCUUUGUUAAAAGUUGCUUCUUUUAUAAUUUUCUCUAUUUUGACUGUAACUUUUAAAAACAGAACAAACAUUAUUUUUAUAAGCAACUUAUUAAACAAGUUGCUAUAUCUUUUUAAAUAUUCAUAUUAUAACCUUAAUAUUUUAAGAAAAGAAUAAUUAUAUCUUACUUUUCUAUAAGCUCUAAUAUAUAAAUAAAAGACAAUUUAAACUCAUGUUUAUUUUAGUCAUUAAAUAAUACAGCACAUUCAUAGUCAAAUUUACUAAACAUGAGCAAGAUACUUUUUUAAUCAUCAACUUAUUUCGUUCUCACAAUAGAAAUAACUUAUUUUAUCAUCCACUGCCAUCCUAAACUUGAUGUUAAGUCACGUUUGGGAUUGCAUUAGAUUGUCAAAUAAUCUAGAGAAAUAGCUAUUAAGGACGAAGAAUAGGAAGAGGUUCGCCAUAAGCAAUAUACUCGCAAGCUUGGCUACUAAUAAACAGAGCAUACAAGCUUAAACACCUAAUAUAUAUAUAUAUAUAUAUAUAUAGUAGUUUUUUGGCACAGGAUCUUAAAGUGCGGGAAACAUUAGGAAAAACUUUAAAACCGCGGGGUUUUAAAGGCUUAAUACUUAAAGCACUUAAACUGCACGGUUUAUGCGUUUUCCCAGACGUUCCCACACUUUAAAAUUCUAAAUUAGAAUAUUUUUAUGUGUGUGUGUGUGUGUGUGUGGAGGGCAAAUCUUUAACUACCUCCGGCUUAAAGGACCUAUACAGUAACUCUUAAAUCAAAGAGAGAAAAUAGUUAAUUCAAUCUGAUUGAAUAUGAAUUGAUAUUCACCAUAUGAUAAUUACAUAAAGAUUGAGCCUUAAGUGUUUUACAUUAAGUAAUACUGCACUGCACACUUGUUCUACACAUUUAGACAACCCAGAUUAAGAAUAAUGAAAAUGAACUCUUAAACUAGCUAGGUGCUCUAUUAUUUAUCUUUGCUCCAUAAAUAUUAGAAAGAUAGAGGAGAGGAAGAAAAAGAAAAGACUAAUUUUGCAGUCCCAAUUUAAUCUUAUGCUCUGAUUUUGAAGCAAAUCUGCAGAGUAUUUAAGGAUCCAAUCAUGAACCAUGUCCACUUCAAUCUUUCGCUGCAUUACUAACCCCUCUGGAUCAUCUUCUGUUGCUGGCUGUAUGUCUAAGCAAUGGGAACCUGCUCUAAUUUACACAUUAUUAAUUAUGUUAUCCAAUAAUUUAGUUAAUAAUUGAACACUAAUUUUUUAUUUUAUAGAAAAAUUUACAUACUGUUUCUUAUUGUCACUGCUAUUAUAUUGUCUGAUAUCUUCCAAAACCCUAUAAUCUCCCCCCCACCAAAAAAAAAGAAGAAAAAGAAUAAGGCAUAUAAUUAAACGGGUAACUUCGAUAGAAAAGAGUGUACAAAAUUUUUAAGCUUAAUUAAUUACCCAGCGCUGCUAUAGGGAUCACGAAAGCCAUUAGAGAAAAUAAGGCUGCUACCAAAUCUCUUUACAACCACUCUUAUACCCUGCAAAUUAAAAAGAAAUAAAAAUCGAACAAAAAUUGAGAUAAAAUUUAUAAUUAAAAAAGAAAAUGAAAAAAAUUAAAUUAUUAAAAGAAUUAAUUUGGGGAUUAAUUGACACUUACAUGACUACCGUAAUAAGUUGUAAUCCAAUGUGGUAUUGGAGCCACUCCAUAAGACUUAUUGCAUGAAUUCAUAUAUUCUAUCGUCUGCUUGAAAAUUGUAUUAUUUUUUUCAAUUCCAAUUGAUGAGACCAUUUCACUGCAUGUCUGCAUGAGAAAUCCCCCCCUCCCAAAACAAAAAAAAAAAUCAUAAUAAAUAAAUAACUAAAUAAAGGAGAAAACUAUUUUUAAUCAUUCAUAAAUAUGUAGUCUCAUAAAUAAAAUUAAAAGAUGUACAUAAAAUAGGUAUUGUUAGCUAGGUGAGAGAUUCAUUCAUCGCAACAUGUUGUUUGUUUGACGAUCUCAAUAGAAGUAUCUAAUGAAAUCAUGUCACCCGUAAUCACAUACCUGCCAGCCUCAGCUCGAGUCUAGUGUUUCAUCGGAUAAGAAUUCAUCAACAUCAUGGCAAGAAUUCUCCCAUCUUAAAGCAACAAUUCCUGAGAAUAUCCGGCCUAGGGUAUCCGUGCCUUCUGAAGCUCCAUGGAUACCUUCACAAGCUUUGCUCACUGGAUAUUCCUGAGGAUCAUCAUACUGAGCUGCACCCGUAUACAUACACUCUAAAUAAUCCUUCAAUUCUGAAACAUCCUUCAGAGGCUUGUAAUCAAAUAAACAACAACAACAUAGAAUUAAGUGCCACAAGGUUAGUAACAUUAUAAAAGAUCUUUCAACAAGCCGUCUAAAACAUGUUGUUAUAUUUAGUUAGAUUACAAUAAACUUUAUAAGUAUGAAGCUAUUGAUAUUAUCAAAUGCAAACGUACAAAUUUGGCCUUAUUUGAUAAUCAGAGUUGUGCGUGGUUUUGUAGUUCAAAUUUAGAUUCUGUAAGAUACGAACCUUUGGAGGCCUGAAUCUAAGCACCAGUAUACUAUAUAUAUAUGGUAAUGCAAAGGCCGUGUAUAAGCCCAAAUCCAGAUUUUUACUUUGUAUAUUACACGUUAAUCGAAAUGUAUAUAUACUCUGAGGAUGACAGAUAAUUAAUUAGACAUAGUAUAUUCGAUAAUGAUGCUACAAUAACAUUGCAUUAAUUGUAAUUAAGGGAAAAUCGGAUGGAUAUAUAUAAGCAGUUAUGUAAAGUAAUAUGAUUACUUUCUUGCAGGUUUUGAACUUUUUAGAGAGAAAAGCAAGUCCAUUUUUUCUAGCAGCGGUUUUAUCCAUUUCAGCCCAGGACUGUUUGAUGGUCAUGUAGCAGCUCUCCCUGGCUUCUUGCAUCAUUAAUUUUCAAAAUUUAAUGGAUUAAUUUUCAAAAUUUAAUGGUUAAAUUUUAACAAGAAAACACAAUCAUACAUAUAUAGAAUUUUAAUUAAUUAAUUUUAUUUCUUACCUUAAAGUCAUUGGUGACAAGAUCAUAAUAUGUGUUUGAGUGUGUGAUAUUAUCAAAAUAGAUAAUUGGGGCGGACGACGCAACUACUCCCAAAGCACUGUAAGAUGGUUAUUUUUUAAAACGUAAUUAUCUUAAAUAUAUUUAUUAUUUCUUAGUUUUACGAUUGCUGAAAGUAUUCAUUAAUUGGAAUGCAAAAUAAAUUUGUAUCAAAAUAAUAUUGGCGUAAUCAAUAUUUUGGUCAAACGAGAUCAAAAUGAAUAAAAUGAUGCAAUAAAUGACACGACAUUAAUCAAAAGAUGUAAGUAACUUAAUAAUAUUAAAAUUUACUUCCUCCAUAAGAUGCUGUCAAAUAAAGUGGCCAUUUAGAUGGUCUAAAGCAGCCAUCUAGAUGAUCAACAACAAUUUUGUUCAAAGAAGACGAAGAAUUUUGCAGCAAGUUUGAAAGAAAAAGAAGCACACGGCUUUAACAUUUGAAAGAAGAAAAAGAAGGUAAAAAAUAAUAUAGAAUUGAUGAAUAGUGCCAAAGCUUUCUCUAUAAAUAGAAACGAAGAGAAUGGGCAAAUGCAUUCCAUUUAGAAAGCAAUUUAGGGAGUUGAGAGAGAGUUCAAGAGCUUGCAUUUAUAAGUUCUUGUUACAGUGAUUGAGAGAGUUUGGGUGUAUUGGGGUUUUUGGGAAGUGAGCUAAAAUACUACAAUACUUGUAACUCUUUUUCACUAGUAAAAUAUUUCCUUCUGUCUUCGCCCGUGGAUGUAGGCUAAAAGCCGAACCACGUAAUUUUUGGUGUCCUCUAUUGUACUUGUUCUUUAUUUUCCUUCUAAUUUCAUUUUAGCUGCGGUCUUACUUCACCCUCCAAUCCUAACAGUGGUAUCAGAGCUAUUGGUUGUAUUUUUUAGAGUCAGGAACUGUUCACGUAAGGGGUACUAUUCACAUAUACGGUACUGUACACAUAUACAAUACUAUUCACGUAUACGGUACUAUUCACGUGAAACGGUGGAAGUGAUCCAAGAAUUUUGUGGUGCAAAGCAGGAAAUAGUGGUGUGAGUAAAGCAACUGUGUGAUUUUGUACAUGUCUAGGAAAGUUCUGUCACAAAGGCGAUAAGAGCUUAAGGAGUCUGGGUUUUAAGUGGGACCAUUGUGACCCCUCCAGUCUUUCCUGGGAACUUUCCUGGUGUGCAUUCUCACACAUACUCACAACUAUUCAAGGUGGUACACUAACUUGUGUGCAAUAUUUAUCAACAAAAUGGUGGCAAAGUAUGAAAUUGAGAAGUUUAACGGAAAUAAUUUUUCGUUGUGGAAAAUAAAGAUGAAAGCUGUAUUGAGGAAAAAUAAUUGUUUGGCAGCAAUUGGAGAAAGGCCCAUGGAGAUAACUGAUGACAAGUGGAACGAGGUAGACGGCAACGCCAUUUCUGAUCUACACUUGGCACUUGCGGAUGGAGUAUUAUCCAGUGUGGCAGAGAAAAAUACGGCGAAGGAAAUAUGGGAUACUCUCACAAAAUUAUACGAGGCCAAGUCACUACACAACAAAAUCUUCUUGAAAAGAAAACUCUAUACUCUUCGAAUGGCGGAAUCUACAAUGGUGACCGACCACAUCAACACAUUGAAGACUCUAUUUUGGGUCAUAAUAUAGAGGAAAAUGAGCGUGUAGAGCUUCUAUUUCAAAGUCUACCAGAUUCGUAUGAUCAACUCAUCAUCAACCUGAUGAACAACAAUCCAGUGGAGAGUCUAGUUUUCGACGAUGUUGCAGCCUCCGUAUUAAAUGAGGAGAGCAGGCGGAAAAAUAAGGAAAACAGACAAGCAAGUUCGCAGCAAGCGGAGGCGCUAUCGGUGACGAGAGGGAGAUCAACAGAACGUGGCCCCAGUAGGAGUCAAAAUUAUGGUAUAUCAAAAUCCAGAAGUAAGAAGAAUGUUAAAUGCUACAACUGUGGCAGGAAAGGGCACGUCAAGAAAGAGUGUUGGAGUAACCAGAAGAGAAGAGAUGGUAAAAAACAUGAGUCAUCAAAUGCUCAGGGGUGUGUAGCAAGUACCUCGGAUGAUGGCGAAAUACUCUACAGCGAGGCAAUAACUGUUUCAGAAGGCAGAAAACGACUAUCUGAUGUCUGGCUUAUAGACUCAGGAGCUACCUGGCACAUGACCUCUCGGAGAGAAUGGUUCCACACAUAUGAACCUAUCUCAGGAGGAUCUGUAUAUAUGGGUAAUGAUCAUGCCUUGGAGAUCGUUGGUAUUGGUACUAUCAAAAUUAAAAUGUUUGAUGGUACAAUUCGCACAAUUGGAGAGGUACGACAUGUCAAUGGCCUGAAGAAAAAUCUAUUGUCUUUGGGACAAAUGGAUAGUCAUGGGUACAAGACUCAUGUGGAGAAUGGAAUUAUGAAGAUCGUUAAAGGCGCGCUUGUAUUGAUGAAGGCAGAAAAGAUCGGUGCUAAUCUAUUCAUGCUUAAAGGAGAAACACUAUAGGAGGCUGAUGCGUGUGUCGCGUCAAAUGGAGAAGAGUCAACGAUGAUGUGGCAUCUCAAACUUGGUCACAUGUCAGAACAAGGUUUGAAGAUUCUCUCUGAGCGAAAAUUACUUCUGGGGCUCAAAUCGGUAAGUUUACCAUUUUGCGAGCAUUGUGUUACAAGUAAGCAGCAUAUAUUAAAAUUCAGUAGAUCUAUUGCUAGAAGUAAAUGCAUUCUAGACUUGAUUCAUUCUGAUGUUUGGGAAUCACCGGAUAUAUCCAUGGGAGGUGCAAAGUACAUGGUGACUUUCAUUGAUGAUUAUUCCAGAAGAUGUUGGGUGUAUCCAAUUAAGAAAAAGUCAGAUGUAUUUCUAGUGUUUAAAGAAUACAAAGCGCGGGUGGUGACACAACUUAAAAGUAAAUUUUAACUCCCAAGUAUAAGAGUGUCUUGUUGUAUUAUAACUCGGUGAGUCCGAGGUCGAUCCACAGAGAAAAGAUUUAAUUAGUUUAUUUUAUUUUAUCUAAAAAUUGAAAUUAAAACUUGAAUAUAAACAACUUAAUUUAAAUGAAACUAUGGAAUUGAACUAGUUAGGGUUAUGGAUCCACUCUUAGAAAUAAAUAAAACUUAAUAAAUUCUUUUUGCCAAUUUAUUUUAGAUUUAUUACCCAAAAGAUUAAUUAUACAAAUUAUUAUUAUUUUCCCUUUAAUUUUAUGAUGGAUUAAGUAUUUAUUGUGCCAAAAUUUAAUUUGUCUACAAUAAGGCAAAAUACCAUUUCACCAUGCCUUAUAUUAAGAUCUUAAGAAUUUAUUGUGCCAAAUUCAUUUGUUUGUCUACAAUAAAUCAAAAUUUCAAAAUAUAAAACAUGUAUAAAAUUAAAUAGAAAAUAAUUUAAUUUAUAAAAUUAAACAUAGAAUUUGAUUAAAUCAUAUUUAUUUCUUAAGAGUUUCACCUUCCCCUAACUAAUAUUAUUUAGUUAAGCAUAAUUAAAAUAAAAAGUAGUAAAAUUGAAUUACUUGUAAUUAAAAGAAAUAAAAACAACUAAAAUUGGAAAUAAAACUAAUUUUAUUAAUGAAAAUAAUUAUACAAAAUAUUAAAAACACACCUGGAAAUCAAGAUUACAAGGAGAUGGAGAGAAUUUGAGAAGAAGAGAGUUGUAGAGAGAUGAUUAAAACAUAAAAAUGAGGCCUUAUUUAUAGAAAAAUAAAUUCAUAAUCCAGUGCUUUGUGGUCCAUCAUAGGCUUCAUGCAUGUGCUCCUCACAACCCUUAGAUCAAGAUCCAAUGGCUGGUCAAACUUCAAAAGUCAACAUCACACAUGGCAUCAUUUGACUCGUCCGAUUUGCCCAAAGAACGGUUGAGAUUUGGCGGGUUAAUGGGUGGAUCGGGUCGACCCGAAUACAAAGAUUCGGAUCCUCCAACUUGCUUCACCAACCAUUGCCACGUGGCACAAUCAUGGCCAUUGAAUGAUGAACGGUUGAGAUUUAGUCAAGAUUGCCAGUUAUCCCAUGCACUCAUAUCUAUUGUAAGCUCAUUUCAUCAUCCAAUCAGUGCUCGGUCAACAGGAAAAGUCAACUUUUUUUACACAAGCCCAAUUUUAAGCCGAUCUUGACUGAUCUUAAGGUUUUCGGACCUCCGGAAUCCAAAUUUGACCUCCGUUUAUUUGUUUGGAGCCUCGAAGUACGUGAAAUUAAUAAUUUUCCUAAUAAACACAUAAAAAUACACAAAAUUAAAUAUAUUUAAAACAUAAUUAAUAAUUCAUAAUAUAUUACAUAAACACAAAUAUAAAUUAUAACAUAAGCAUAAAAUAACAUAUUAUCGCUUGAUAACUAAACAAUUUUUAAUACUAAUCACACCCCCCAACCAGCUUAUUGCUAGCCCUCUAGCAAUUAAAGCGUUAUAUUAAGAUUUAUAAAAUUCACAUGCAAGUUAAUAGUUGUUCAUCUAUCCUCUAAAUUACCAAAUAAAUGAACUCUCCCAAAUUCCUUUACCACAUUGAUGUUCACUCAUUAUCCAGAAUAUCAUCAAACCUUCUUUUGUGCUCAAGUAAUUAACACAAUACUUAUGGGGCUUCAUUAAAAGAAAAACAACAUUUUCGUUCUAAAAUUCAUUAGAAAUUAUAUCUUUAGGCAAUAGAUUAUUCACACAUUUUUUUUUUAUAUUACAUUUCUAACCCGUUUAGCAAGCUUUAGGUCAGUGACUCCCAGACCAGUUGGCCUUAGGGCACUAGGUGUUGAAGCACCCCUACGGACUUAAUUACUCGGGUUUCUAAUAAACAAACAAUAUAUCUAUUACCCAUGUAGCGAGCUUUAGGCCAGUGACUCCCAGACCAGUUGACCUUAGGGCACUAGGUGUUGAAGCACCCCUACGGACUUAAUUACUCGGGUUUCUAGAUAUAACAAAAUUAAAAACAUUUUUUCUUCUUCUUUUUUUUUGAUUUUUUUUUUUUGGUUUUUUUGUUUUUUUGUUUUUGGAAAUAUACACUUUCUACUACCUUAGAUACUAUUCCUAAUAAAUCAAAAGAACUAAAUGCUGUAAAACUUUAACUUACAACCCACUAGUAUGUGUCAUAGUGUGUGUGUGAAGAAUGAUUCAAUAAUACCUGUUAAAUGAGUAAACAAUUAAAUAACUUAAUAACCAAGUGGAGAGUUCACAAAUUUGAGUAAUUCAAAGAAAAGGGAACAAAAACAACUUACUAUGAAUCUCAAAAUCAAAAUAUAAUACAACAAGACUAUUAGGAUGCGUCUCAAAAGUCGUGACUCUUUACACGGCCAUCCUAGACAAAAAACAAAUUUUUUUUUUUUUGGUUUUUUUUUUAACAAAGAAAAGAAAAGAGAAAAGAGAAAAACAACACACAUAUUUAAAAUAUACGUCAAUUAUCCCCACCCCACAACCUAAUCUAAACAUUAUCUUAACAUUUUAUAAUUUUACAGAUAUGCAAAAAAAUAAAAAUAAAAGAGAAUAAUAAAAGAAGAAGAAGAAGAGAUCUCACCUGAACUUGAUGCAGAAGCUUAAAAGCAAAUAACAAAGAUGAAGAAAGAGUCAAUUUUUUUUUUUAACAACACCCUUAAGAUUAAGAAGAUGCGUUUCUAGAGAGACUACAUUCUCUAUAUCCUGCCAUCUUCGACUCAAAUUUGUCCUAAGUUAGUCUUUACAGAAAAAAAAAUUUUUUUUUUUUUUGUUUUUUGUUUUUUUUUUUUUUUGUAAACACAUAACCAGGACUAAGACAUUCCACAAUUAUCAACUAUUCCCUCCCCCCAACCUGAAAAAGACAUUGUCCUCAAUGUUUUAAAAGGAAAGAGAAAGAGUGUAGAAGACAUCACAUGAACACUACAACAGAAAAUAUUUACAAACGGAGAGUUAAAUCUAAAUCGCACUUCUUAUUAUUGCUACUGUUACCGUUACCGUCAUUAGUCGACCAAUUCAGUGCAACAGUCUGUGGAUCUGGCUCUGGUGUAUAAGCUUGCAAAAGAUCAAGUAACUCAUUAGCAGUAGAAGCAGAGAUAAAUAGUUUUUUUACAGAAUGUGGAACAAAAUGAUUCUUUAUUGCAUGAUUAAUAAAAGUUAGCAAGCCGUCAUAAAAAUCAUUAACAUUUAACAAACCGAUGGGUUUUUGAUGAAUGUUCAAGUGGGCCCAAGAUGCAAAUGUAAUUAGUGCCUCAAAAGUUGCAAGAUCUCCUGGCAAGAAAAUAAAAGCAUCAGCAUGAUUCAUCAUUUCAGAUAUUCUCUCUUGCAUACUUGAUACCACUAAUUCUUCUCCAAUUGGUGGGCCAGACAUGCACACUAGCGGUUUCAUGGGUUUUGGGAUAAUGCCGAGUACUUGGCUUCCUCUGGUAAAAACAGCUUCUGAGACAAGUCUUGAUAACCCUCGUUCACCUCCUCCAUAUACAAGAUGCAGUUUCCUCUCUGCUAUGACACGACCAAGAUCUACAGCUGCCUGAACGAACUCUUUGUACUUUCCAUAGUGAAACCCAGAAAGCACACAAAUGUUUUUGAAUUGUUUACUCGAAGAUGAUGCCAUUGGACUAAUUUUUCAAAAACAAGUUGUGAGUGUUUGAAAAAUGAGCUCAUAUUUAAAGAUCUUGGUAACAUAAAUAAUGAGAAACAGCUGUAAAUGGGUUGGCAAUAUUUGUCAAAUGACGAGUAAAACUCGUGGCUCAAUAAUUCAAAAACAAACAGUAAAAAGAAAGUAAUGAUUAGAAAAAGCAAACAGUAAAAGAAAACCAAAUAUUUAUUAAAUACAAAAUCACAUCGCUAAAUGCAAUAAUGCAAAUGAUAAAAUAACAGUAAAGUAAAAUAACAGUGAAGUGAAAGGAUAUUUACUGGUAGUUGUGAUUGUGGCUCACAUCUUCCUCUGGUUUUACGUCCAGUAACGGCUUGAACGCCCUCUAUGGGUCGAGGAUCGGCUUCCCAUCCAGUUUUCUUAUAAACUGGCAAACAGGGUCUUUUUGAGUCAGAUUCCCAAGACUUAACUGUGCACUUUGUUUUUGGAAUAGUAUCCACAAAUUGUAAAUCUCACGUUGCACAAUUCCGCUUCGAUGCGUCUCAAGAGAUCGUAAGAUAUCAUCCAACGAUUCUUUACUCAUGCCAUCUUUAACGAAUUUAAUUUUAUCUUCACGAGUAUCAGAAACCAUUCCUAAAGAUUUACAAUCUGGUCGUUUGCAACCAAGUCUCACACAGUUAUGACAUUUUGAGCCAAGUCGUUUAGCUCUCCUUUUCUUAGCAAACGUACUUUUACCAAAACCAGGCAUGUAAGAAACAAAUUGACCAGAAAACUCACCUGCUAAUCGGACCUUUGCUUCAAUUAACCAACGAAUGUCAGAAGGAAUGCCAUUGAUCAUUAACAAACGCAGUCGUUCACAACGAGCUUUGUAAAUUUUCCUGAGGGCAUUCUGAGGGAGAGAGGGAAAAUGCUUAUGGAGUUUAUGUUGUAUUUCUUCCAUGUAUGAUUUUGGGGUUUCAGUUAUUGUGGGAAACUGAAGAUACCGACUUAAGAAGUCACGGAGUACCGUUAUCCGCCAUUUAUACGGGAAAAUAGAUCAAAACACACCAAAAUCAAAUCUGCAAAAUCAAAUCAAGCGUGAAAGCGAGUAAAAAGAAGCACACAAUAUAAAAGGAAAAUGAACUUACAUUCGUCCUCUCAUUGAGUUAACCUCAAGCUCCAUUUGAAAUUCAUAUAUGCCACUCUCUACUGUUCUGAGUUGUCCCUCUAGAUCCUCAACAUAGGACACGAAUUCUGGUGGUUGCAGAUCCCAAAGUGGAUGUGAUUUACAGCUUUGUAUCAGGCCUCUUAAGUGAAAUUUUAUACGCCGAAAUCUUUUAAGAUGUGCGAACAGGUAUUUUCUCAUUGAGGUGCUCAUGAUGUAAAAUGAAAAUUGAUGAGAGAAUGUACAACUGUCAAACAAACACGCUUACACAAGAAAAACAAUGUUAAAAAAAAAACUAUGUACAGUGCAUCAAUCUAAGGAAAAAAAAAAGUCAAACAAUGAAACGGUAAAAUAAUAGUAAAACAAAAAAAAAUCAUUAAAAACUUAAUCAAGAAUUGGUGGGUCAUCCAAAUUAAUUUCGGUGUCCUCGUCACGUGGGUGAUGUUCCAGAUAUGGUUUUAAUCUUUGACCAUUAACUUUAAAUGUGACACCAUUAUUUGGAUUCUCAAUUUCUAUGGCCCCAUAUGAAUAUACAUUUUUUACAACAAAUGGGCCACUCCAUUUUGACUUUAACUUUCCUGGAAAUAAAUGAAGACGAGAAUUAUAAAGCAACACUUUUUGACCAAUCUCAAAUGUUUUUCGAAAAAUUCUUUUAUCAUGAAAUGCUUUUGUUCUUGCCUUAAUAAUUCUUGAAUUUUCAUAUGCAUCAUUCCUUAAUUCCUCAAGUUCAUUCAAUUGCAAUUUUCGCACAUUACCAACAUCAACCAAAUUUGAAUUAAAAGCUUUAAUAGCCCAAAGUGAUUUAUGUUCAAGUUCAACAGGUAAAUGACAAGGUUUACCAUAAAUUAACCGAUAGGGUGACAUUCCUAAUGAUGUUUUAAAUGCAGUGCGGUAAGCCCAAAGUGCAUCAUUAAGUCUAAGAGACCAAUCUUUUCGGUUUGGGUUAACCGUUUUUUCCAAAAUUUGUUUUAUCUCCCUAUUUGCUAAUUCAACUUGACCAUUUGUUUGAGGAUGAUAAGGGGUAGCAAUUUUAUGUGUAAUUCCAUAUUUCUUCAUUAAAGACUCAAAUGACUUAUUACAAAAAUGCUUACCUCCAUCACUGAUAAUGGCUCGAGGGAUUCCAAAUCGACUUAAAAUGUUUUCUCUUAAAAAUUUAAUCACAGUUUUACUGUCAUUAUUUCGACAAGAAAUUACUUCAAUCCAUUUUGAGACAUAAUCAACUGCAACUAAUAUAUACACAAAUCCAAAAGAUGAUGGAAAUGGACCCAUGAAAUCAAUUCCCCAACAGUCAAAUAUUUCAAUUUCAAGUAUGGGAUUUAAGGGUAUCAUGUUUCUUUUUGUAAUUGAUCCCAAUUUUUGACAUUUUUCACAACUUUUGCAAAAUUCAUAUGUGUCUUUAAACAUGGUAGGCCAAUAAAAUCCACACUGCAAAAUUUUAGCAGUAGUUUUUCUUGAAGAAAAGUGACCACCACAUGCUUCAGAAUGACAAAAAUUAAUGACACUACUUACCUCAUUAUCAGGAAUACAUCGCCGAAAAAUUUGAUCUGGGCAAUAUUUGAACAAAUAAGGAUCAUCCCAAUAAAAUUUCUUUACUUCAACAAAAAAUUUCUUCUUCUCUUGAGCAUUCCAUUGCAAAGGCAUUUUACCUGUAACAAGAAAAUUAACAAUAUUAGCAUACCAUGGCAUUGAAGUAACAGAAAAUAAAAAUUCAUCAGGGAAAGAAUCAUUUAUGGGUGUUAUAUCAUUGCAGAAUUCGGAUGUGAGUCUUGAUAGAUGAUCAGCAACAACAUUUUCAGCACCCUUUUUAUCUUUGAUGGUAAGGUCAAAUUCUUGUAGUAACAAAAUCCAACGAAUUAAUCUCGGUUUGGCAUCCUGUUUACUCAUCAAAUAUCUCACAGCAGCAUGGUCAGUAAACACAAUAGAUUUAGAGCCAAGCAAAUAUGAACGGAAUUUGUUUAAUGCAAAUACCACAGCAAGUAAUUCUUUUUCAGUUGUAGAAUAAUUCAUUUGAGCACUAUCCAAAGUCUUGCUCGCAUAAUAAAUCACAAAAGGCUUACCAUCCCUUCUUUGUCCUAAAAUAGCACCAACAGCAAAAUCACUUGCAUCACACAUUAAUUCAAAUGGCAAAGACCAAUCAGGAGAUUGCAUAAUAGGUGCAGAUGUUAAAAGACAAAUUAUUUUUUCAAAAGAUUUUUGGCAAUCAUCAUUCCAUUCAAACGGUGCAUCUUUUAAUAAGAGGUUACAAAGUGGUUUAGAUAUGGCACUAAAGUUUUUUAUAAACCUCCUAUAAAAUCCUGCAUGUCCUAAAAAGGAUCGCACAUCUCUAACUGUUUUUGGUUGUGGCAAUUUAGAUAUGACUUCGAUUUUUGCUUUGUCAACUUCAAUUCCUUUAAUAGAAACAACAUGACCCAAAACAAUUCCAGAAGUAACCAUGUAGUGACAUUUUUCCCAAUUCAACACGAGUUCUUUUUCAACACAUCUUUUUAAAACUUUCUCCAAAUUAUCAAGGCAAUCAUCAAAAGAAUUCCCAAACACAGUCAAAUCAUCCAUAAAGACCUCUAAACAAUGUUCAACCAUAUCACAAAAAAUGCUUAACAUACAUCUUUGAAAUGUUGCAGGAGCAUUACAAAGCCCGAAUGGCAUUCUUUUAAAUGCAAAUGUUCCAAAAGGACAUGUGAAUGUGGUCUUUUCUUGGUCCUCAAGUGCUAUAGGAAUUUGAUAAUAACCUGAAUAUCCAUCUAAAAAACAGUAGUAGGGAUGUCCUGCUACUCUUUCUAAGAUUUGGUCAAGGAAUGGUAAUGGAAAAUGAUCUUUUCUAGUGGCUUCAUUUAAUUUUCUAUAAUCAAUGCACAUGCGCCAACUAGAUGUAAUUCGUGUUGGAAUUAAUUCUCCUUUUUCAUUUUUAACAACAGUGAUUCCAGAUUUUUUUGGCACUACUUGUGUAGGACUUACCCACUUACUAUCAGAAAUAGGGUAGAUAAUUCCCACAUCAAGUAAUUUAAGGACUUCUGUUUUGACUACCUCUUUCAUGUGUGGGUUUAAUCUUCUUUGAGGUUGUUGACAUAUUUUAGCAUUUUCUUCCAAAUUAAUUCUAUGUGUGCAGAUUAAGGGAUUAAUGCCUUUAAUGUCAUUUAAAGUCCAUCCUAUUGCAUUUUUAUGCUUUUUAAGAACAGUUAGUAACUUACCUUCUUGGUCGCUUGUUAAAGUAGAAGAAAUCACAACAGGAUAAGUUUGUUCUUCUCCAAGAAAAGCAUAUUUCAAUCCUUCAGGCAAAGGUUUCAAUUCCAUUUUAGGUGCUUCUUGUUGUUCUGUCUUUUCAAUACUUCCAAGCUCCUCAAAUUUUGGCUCGUCAUCAUAAUUUUGCGAAGUCUGCAUAGAAUCAAGCAACGAAUUUAUAUUAGAAAUAUCAAGUUUAAGUUGCUUAUUUGACUCAAUUGAAUUAACUAAACAAACAUUAGAAAGUUCAGAAAAAUCCCCUUUUUGAAUAUUUUCCUCGAUACAAGAUUCAAACAAUUCCUUUUGUUCAUCAAUAUCAUCUUCAUUCUCAUUUUCUUCAUUAGGUUGCCUGCACAUGUUGAAAACAUUCAAUUCCAAAGUCAUAUUCCCAAAGGAUAAAUUCAUUAAACCAUUCCUACAAUUAAUCAAAGCAUUAGCAGUUGCUAAAAAUGGUCGACCUAAAAUUACAGGAAUUGGUUUGUAAUUAUUCACAACAGGUUCAGUUUCCAAGACAAUAAAAUCCACAGGAUAAAUAAAUUUAUCAACUUGUACUAAAACAUCUUCCACUAUUCCUUUUGGUACUUUAACGGAUCUAUCGGCAAGCAAAAGUGUAGUUGAAGUUGAUUUUAACUCACCAAGAUUAAGUUGAAGAUAAACUGAAUAUGGAAGCAAAUUAACACUAGCACCAAGAUCUAGUAAAGCAUGCUCAAUUCUGUGGUUACCAAUAAUACAAGAAAUGGUAGGACAACCAGGAUCUUUAUAUUUCAACUUAUUAUUAGUAGACAGAAUUGUACUUACCUGUUCGGCCAUGAAAGCACUCUUUCUUACCUUCAAUUUCCUCUUAACAGUGCACAAGUCCUUUAAAAAUUUGGCAUAUGAAGGAACCUGCUUGAUUGCAUCUAAUAGAGGAAUGUUAACUUUCACUUGCUUAAAGAUUUCAUAAAUUUCAGAAGAGUGGUUUGAUUUCUUUGGUUUAUUCAAUGCAUGCGGAAAUGGUGGUUCAAGUGGAACACUAGUUAUUUCUUCACUAGGUGUAAGUUCAUUUAGUCAUUCCUUACCCUUUGAAUUUUCAUAAGGUUCAGGCAUAGGUCUAUCAACAACCUUACCACUACGAAGAGUUAUAACUGACUUGACUUGGUCUGUGGGUGAAUUUUGUUGAAUUUUAGGAUUUGGUUGUGGUUGGGCUGGAAAUUUUCCUUUUUCUUGAAUGGUGAGUGCAGAAGCAAUUUUAGCAAGAGUAUCUUUCAAAUAAAAAAAAGUUUGUGCAUUUUGAUUGUUAAUAACAUCUUGCUUUCUGAUGAAUGAAUGCAUUGUGUCCUCCAGAUUUUUCCAAGGUGGUGGAACAUAUGGUGCAUAAGGAUGAGGAUUUUGAAAAUUUUGUGGAGGUGGUGCUUGUGAAGAUUGUGCAUUAUUAUUAUUCCUCCAACUGAAAUUCGGAUGAUUUUUCCAACCAGGAUUAUAAGUCUGUGAAUAUGGGUUUGGUUUAUUGAAAGUGUUAAUGACAUUAGCUUGAUCAUUUAGACAUUCUUUAAGUGCAGGCAAAGUGGGACACUCUUGAGUGAAAUGAUCAUUCGAAUUACAUAUGUUACAUGCAAUUUCUUGAACAGAUUUUACUUGAUCACUCUUUUUAUGCUCCAAAGCUUCAACUUUCCUAACUAGGGAUGCAAAUUUUGCUUGUAAAUCAUGAUCUUCCCUAAGGUUAUGGAUUCCUCCACUAGAUGGAGAUGAUUGUUGCUUAUUUGUCAAUUCAAAAGUUCCAACAGUAUCCCAAUGUUGUGCAUUUUCAGCUAAUUGGUCAAGGUAAUCUAGUGCAUCUUCAGGAUUUUUAUCCCUAAAUUCACCAUUACACAUCAUUUCAACAACCUGUCUACUUUGGGGUAUUAAGCCUUCGUAGAAAUAAGUGACCAAUCGCCAAGUUUCAAAACCAUGAUGUGGGCAUAUGUUAAGCAACUCUUUAAACCUAUCCCAACAUUGGUAUAAUGUUUCUCCAUUUUUUUGAGUGAAAGAAGUGAUUUGCCUUUUAAAAGAAUUUGUUCUAUGAGGUGGAAAGAAUUUUUUCAAAAACUGUUCUUGCAUGUUAUUCCAAGUUCUUACUGAUCCAGAUCUAAGGUUUUGUAGCCAAGUUUUAGCUUUAUCUUUUAAUGAAAAAGGAAAAAGCUUUAAUCUAAUUAUGUUCAUGCUACAAUUUUGGUCCGUGUAUGUAUUACAAACUUCCUCAAAAUCUCUUAGAUGCAAGUACGGAUUCUCAGAUUCUAAACCAUGAAAUGUUGGUAAAAGUUGGAUAAUACCUGGUUUAAAAUUGAAUCGAGAUGCUUCUGGAUGCUCCGGUUCUGGUUGGAUUCAUGUAGUCUCUCAGAGUCCUUGGUUGAUUCUGAUCGUGCCCAUGUUGAGAUUGGUUGUCUCCCUGAUCAAUUUGAGGAUUAAGUUCGCCCAAAACAUUUUCGCCUUCAUUCUCAUCCAUGAUUGGUGGUGGAGAUUGAGAUCUACGAAUUAACCUGCCACUUGAAGAUCGAGACCAACGUCUCAUGCAAGGGUUAUGUUAUAAAGAUAAUAUUUACACAAAUUGAUAAUAAAAUAAAAUAAAAAAUUAAAUAUGCAAAUAAUAUAAGUGUACAAAAGAAAAUUAAAUAACAAUUUUGGUGGUUGAACCCACCAGUUAACAAUAUAAAAUAAAUGCAAAAGAAAGAAAAAGAAAAAAUGGUAGUUAAACCCACCAAUAAAGCAAAAAAAUAAAAUAAAAUAAAAUAAACGCAAAAUAAUAAAAUAAAUAAAUAAAAUGGUGGUUGAACCCACCAAUAAAAAAAAUAAAGCAAAAAAAAAUACAAAAUUAAAUAAAUACUGAAAAUAAAAAUUAGGAGUUAGUAGUUAGUUUGGUGGUUGAACCCACCAAUAAAGCAAAAAUAAAUAAAUACGAAAUUAAAUAAAUGCAGAAAAUUAAAUAACUGAAAUUAAAAAAGUUAGCAGUUAGCAGUUAGUAAGUUAAGAGUCAGUAAUUAGAGUUAGUAGUUAAAGUUAGUUUAGUCCAAAAUAUGUUAGUUUAGUCCAAAAUAUGUCCAAAUAUGUUCAAAAUAUGUCCAAAUAUGUCCAAAAUAUGUCCAAAGUAUGUCCAAGUCUUAAUUAUUUUGAGGAAUUUCGUCUAGGGAUUCUAUUGCAAAUUAUUUUUAAUUUUAUGGUCAAACUGUAAUUUUUAGAAGUUUAGAAUUAGUAAUUUGGGAUGAAAGUGAAACAGUUGAAAGAUAUCGGGGUCCGAACGUAAUUACCAGAAGAUUGGGCUGGAAACGGAAAUUGUUGGGGUGAAACUAGAAUUAUGAAAGAUAUGGGGACAAAAGAGAAUUUAAGAAAAGAAAAAGGGGGUAAACGAAAUUUUACAUAUAAGAGAAAAAUAAAAAACGGAAAAACAAACCAAAUAAAAAAAACUUUUCCCCGGCAACGGCGCCAAAAACUUGACACAUCUUAAAAGUAAUUUUUAACUCUCAAGUAUAAGAGUGUCUUGUUGUAUUAUAACUCGGUGAGUCCGAGGUCGAUCCACAGAGAAAAGAUUUAAUUAGUUUAUUUUAUUUUAUCUAAAAAUUGAAAUUAAAACUUGAAUAUAAACAACUUAAUUUAAAUGAAACUAUGGAAUUGAACUAGUUAAGGUUAUGGAUCCACUCUUAGAAAUAAAUAAAACUUAAUAAAUUCUUUUUGCCAAUUUGUUUUAGAUUUAUUACCCAAAAGAUUAAUUAUACAAAUUAUUAUUAUUUUCCCUUUAAUUUUAUGAUGGAUUAAGUAUUUAUUGUGCCAAAAUUUAAUUUGUCUACAAUAAGGCAAAAUACCAUUUCACCAUGCCUUAUAUUAAGAUCUUAAGAAUUUAUUGUGCCAAAUUCAUUUGUUUGUCUACAAUAAAUCAAAAUUUCAAAAUAUAAAACAUGUAUAAAAUUAAAUAGAAAAUAAUUUAAUUUAUAAAAUUAAACAUAGAAUUUGAUUAAAUCAUAUUUAUUUCUUAAGAGUUUCACCUUCCCCUAACUAAUAUUAUUUAGUUAAGCAUAAUUAAAAUAAAAAGUAGUAAAAUUGAAUUACUUGUAAUUAAAAGAAAUAAAAACAACUAAAAUUGGAAAUAAAACUAAUUUUAUUAAUGAAAAUAAUUAUACAAAAUAUUAAAAACACACCUGGAAAUCAAGAUUACAAGGAGAUGGAGAGAAUUUGAGAAUAAGAGAGUUGUAGAGAGAUGAUUAAAACAUAAAAAUGAGGCCUUAUUUAUAGAAAAAUAAAUUCAUAAUCCAGUGCUUUGUGGUCCAUCAUAGGCUUCAUGCAUGUGCUCCUCACAACCCUUAGAUCAAGAUCCAAUGGCUGGUCAAACUUCAAAAGUCAACAUCACACAUGGCAUCAUUUGACUCGUCCGAUUUGCCCAAAGAACGGUUGAGAUUUGGCGGGUUAAUGGGUGGAUCGGGUCGACCCGAAUACAAAGAUUCGGAUCCUCCAACUUGCUUCACCAACCAUUGCCACGUGGCACAAUCAUGGCCAUUGAAUGAUGAACGGUUGAGAUUUAGUCAAGAUUGCCAGUUAUCCCAUGCACUCAUAUCUAUUGUAAGCUCAUUUCAUCAUCCAAUCAGUGCUCGGUCAACAGGAAAAGUCAAUUUUUUUUACACAAGCCCAAUUUUAAGCCGAUCUUGACUGAUCUUAAGGUUUUCGAACCUCCGGAAUCCAAAUUUGACCUCCGUUUAUUUGUUUGGAGCCUCGAAGUACGUGAAAUUAAUAAUUUUCCUAAUAAACACAUAAAAAUACACAAAAUUAAAUAUAUUUAAAACAUAAUUAAUAAUUCAUAAUAUAUUACAUAAACACAAAUAUAAAUUAUAACAUAAGCAUAAAAUAACAUAUUAUCGCUUGAUAACUAAACAAUUUUUAAUACUAAUCAGGUGGAACUUGAAUCUGGUAAAAAGAUCAAGUGUUUGAGGACAGAUAAUGGUGGAGAGUAUACAAACGGCGAGUUUCUUGCUUUCUGUAAGCAAGAAGGUAUUCAGAGGCAGUUCACAGUGGCAUACACUCCUCAACAAAAUGGAGUGGCAGAGCGGAUGAAUAGAACUCUUACAGAACGGAUAAGAGCUAUGUUAAUGACUGCUGGUCUACCCAAUUCAUUUUGCGCAGAAGCAGCCAAAACUGGCUGUUAUAUAGUAAAUCGAUCGCCAUCUAUAGCUAUUGGGCUGAAGACAGUGAUGGAGAUGUGGACUGGAAAGCCAGCUAAUUAUUCCUACCUACAUGCAUUUGGAUGUCCUGUGUAUGUGAUGUACAAUGCCCAAGAAAGAACAAAGCUGGAUCCAAAAUCUAGAAGAUGUAUCUUCUUGGGGUAUGCUGAUGGAGUAAAAGGGUAUCGUCUGUGGGACCCCACUGCCCACAAGAUCGUCAUCAGAAGAGAUGUUAUCUUUAUAGAAGAUCAACUGCAAAUGAGAGAUGAGGAUGAUGGCACUGCAAAAGAAAAGUCAAAGAUUGUGCCGGUAUAUGUCGAAAAUAAUCUAAAAAAUUUAUAUUCUUCUGAAGCAGUACCAGAGCACGAGGAACAAGAACCAGUCGAGUCCGAGGCUCCAGAAGUUCGUUGGUCAAUGUGGCACUCGGAGUAUGUCACAGAAAUCAAUGUUGUAUACUGUCUUCUAACAGAGGAUGGAGAGCCUUCAACUUUCCAUGAAGCUUUAAACAGCUCAGAUGUUGCUUUGUGGAUGACAGCAAUGUAGGAAGAAAUUGAAGCUCUACACAAGAACAAGACAUGGGAACUUGUACCACUACCACGUUGUAGAAAAGCCAUUGGAAACAAAUGGGUCUACAAGAUCAAACGUGAUGGCAAUGACCAAAUGGAGCGGUAUCGUGCAAAAUUGGUGGUGAAAGGAUAUGCUCAGAAAGAAGGUAUUGAUUUCAACGAGAUAUUUUCGCCGGUGGUUUGACUCACAACAGUCAGAGUAGUCUUGGCGAUGUGUGCUACAUUUGACUUACAUCUUGAGCAGUUAGAUGUGAAAACUGCAUUUCUUCAUGGAAAACUUGAAGAAGAAAUAUAUAUGCUCCAACCAAAAGGUUUUGCAGAAACAGGAAAAGAGAACUUGGUCUGCAGGUUGAAUAAAUCUCUAUACGGUCUCAAACAGGCGUCGAGGUGUUGGUAUAAGAGAUUUGAUUCCUUCAUUAUGAGCCUUGGAUACAACAGACUCAAUUCAGACCAUUGUGCAUAUUACAAGAGGUUUGAAGAUAGUGAUUUCAUCAUUUUGCUGUUGUAUGUGGAUGAUAUGUUGGUAGCAGGUCCCAACAAAGAUCGAGUCCAAGAAUUGAAGGCACAGUUGGCUAGGGAGUUUGAAAUGAAGGACUUGGGACCAGCAAACAAGAUUCUAGGGAUGUAAAUUCACCGAGACAGAAAUAACAGGAAGAUUUGGCUUUCUUAGAAGAAUUACUUGAAGAAAAUCUUACGACGCUUCAACAUGCAAGAUUGUAAGUCAAUUUCUACCCUACUUCCUAUUAAUUUCAAAUUAUCCUCAAGUAUGUGUCCAAGCAAUGAAGCAGAGAGGAAGGAAAUGUCUCGAGUACCGUAUGCAUCAGCAGUGGGAAGUUUGAUGUUCGCUAUGAUAUGUACUAGACCGGACAUUGCACAAGUAGUGGGAGCAGUCAGUCGAUACAUGGCGAAUCCUGGUGGAGAGCAUUGGAUAGCUGUGAAGAGGAUUCUAAGAUACAUUAGAGGAACCUCAGAUGUUGCAUUAUGUUAUGGAGGAUCAGAGUUUACUGUCAGGGGCUAUAUGGAUUCAGAUUUUGCAAGAGACCUUGAUAAAAGGAAAUCCACUACUGGUUAUGUGUUUACACUUGCGGGAGCAGCUGUAAGUUGGGUUUCGAAACUGCAGACCGUUGUGGCUUUAUCUACAACAGAAGCAGAAUACAUGGCAGCUACACAAGCUUGCAAGGAAGCUAUUUGGAUACAAAGAUUAUUGGAGGAGCUAGGGCACAAACAACAGAAAAUUCCUGUGUUUUGUGACAGUCAGAGUGCCUUGUACAUUGCAAGGAAUCCAGCCUUUCAUUCCAGGACAAAGCACAUAGGAGUUCAGUAUCACUUCGUUCGUGAAGUAGUGGAAGAUAGAAGUGUGGAUUUGCAGAAAAUCCAUACCAAAGAGAACCUAGCAGAUGUUUUGACCAAGCCGAUAAAUACUGAUAAGUUUGUCUGGAGUAGAACCUCUUGUGGCUUAGCAGAAACGUAGGCAACAUGAUUAUGGCGAAGCAGAAAGGAUGGUGUGGAGAUUGAUUGAUUCUCAAUCUAAUCUCCAAGUGGGAGAAAUGUCAAAUAAAGUGGCCAUCUAGAUGAUCUAAAGCUGCCAUCUAGAUGGUCAGCAACAAUUUUGUUCAAAGAAGACGAAGAAUUUUGCAGCAAGUUUGAAAGAAAAAGAAGCACACGGCUUUGACAUUUGAAAGAAGAAAAAGAAGGUAAAAAAUAAUAUAGAAUUGAUUAAUAGUGCCAAAGCUUUCUCUAUAAAUAGAAACGAAGAGAAUAAGCAAAUGCAUUCCAUUCAGAAAGCAAUUUAGGGAGUUGAGAGAGAGUUCAAGAGCUUGCAUUUAUAAGCUCUUGUUACAGUGAUUGAGAGAGUUUGGGUGUAUUGGGGUUUUUGGGAAGUGAGCUAAAAUACUACAAUACUUAUAACUCCUUUUCACUAGUAAAAUAUUUCCUUCUGUCUUCGCCCGUGGAUGUAGGCUAAAAGCCGAACCACGUAAUUUCUGGUGUCCUCUAUUGUGCUUGUUCUUUAUUUUCCUUCUAAUUUCAUUUUAGCUGCGGUCUUGCUUCAUCCACCAAAUUUCCUAACAGAUGCUCCAACAACGAUAAUAGGAGACAUUUCGGCUGAUAAAUUUUCCUUAAUGUGUAAGAGAAUCUUUGCAUAAUCUGCCAAAGCUUGACCAGAGUUGAAAUAUCCACGAAGAGUUGCAUUCUUUAGGGCAUCUUUGCGUGAUAUAAAAGGUACUGAUUUUCUAUAGAACCGAUGCUGCAUAAAAAAUCGAAUUAAAGAAAAAAAAUCCAUCACAACUUUUCAGUUCAUAUUGUAGAAUAUUCUGAUUAAGAUUUGUCUUUAUUAUUAUUAUUUUGUAUGGGAACUCUAUUUCAAUUAUUAUCAAGCUAGCCUGAUAACAGAUUCUUUACUUACCUCUAUGUAAACUUGUAAGGCUUUAAAUCAACGAGCAUUAUCAGUAAGCCAUCCAGUGCCACCAAGGUCAUCAUCAAGACUACUCUCUUUACCAAGAUAUGCCAAUAUCGGCGCCGCCGUGGCUCCACCACCACCCCAAUGUUUGAAGUUCAACACAUAUCUAUGAGAAAAAGUUAAAUAACUUUGUGGAUUAUAGUUAAAGUGAUCAAGUAUUUGAUCAUCAUAAUAAGUUUCGAGAUCACCCUUUGGUUCUGAAGUUAAUAUUUUUUUACUAGGGUUUAGAAAAAUAGUCUUUCCACGCACAACACCAAGCUUUGGGAUGUUUUUUAAUGGUGAAGUGGAAGCAAAAGCAAAAUUUGUGAGGAGAAGAAGAAAAAAGGCAUGGAAGCCACCGACCUUCCAUGGCAAAGUUGUAAAUCCUUAAUUAGCAGGAUGAUUAUGUAAAUACAGAAGAAAUAGAAUUAAGAUUCGGUUAUAAAUUCAGCUUCAGAAUCGACGUGUUUUUUAAUCUAUUCUGGAUUUUUUAUUAUCCUAUCAUAUAAUCAUUGGUGGUUUUAGUUUUAUAUUAGUAAUGAUCUUUAGUUUUCAUAAAAUUAUGGUUUUUCUAAUAUAUAUUGUUAUCAGUUUCGUAACUAAAUACGUUGCGGUGAAAAUUAUUAAGUCUUUCCUUAGUAAUUAACUAACUUGACAUACGUAGUUCUAAUGGUUGGACACAUAUUUCUAAUUUAAUUAACUUGUAAUUAAUUAUUUGCUAGUAAUUAACUUGAUUUAGUAUGUGGUAAAUACAUAAUUUUGAUAAAAUCAGUAAAAAAAUAGUAAAUUUUCUAUCAUGUAAGUGUAAAAUUAAAGAUAUAAUUUUUUUUAAUUACAAUAGCUAAUAUUUACUUGAUACUUUAAUACUGUAACUUUUAAACUAAGCUACCCAAACAUGGUUGUAAUUUUCUAUAAUCAUGCUACCAAAGAUGUCAGGAUUCCAAUCAUUGUUUACGAGGCUACUAUAUAUGUUAAUCAUGCUAAUGCUAUAAGCCUUGGAUUGGAAGUAAUGUAAAUCCAACCGUUGGGUAACGUAGCUAGCCUAAUUACACUUUAUUAAGAGAACAAUACAAUUAACAAUAGUCUCACAUGAAAGGGUGGCAAUUCAUUAUCCGAAUUUGUGAAUUAGACACUAACACAUCAUAUCGAGAAGAUUUUUUAUGACUAUUAUGACAACUUGUUCACGUCCAACAAACCAUCCCAAAGCCAAAUGGAGAAUGCACUGAAGAUCUGCCUCGCAAAGUCACUGAAGAGAUGAAUGCCCAGCUAAAUCAGCCCUAUACAGAAGCAGACAUCACAGAAGCUUUGAGCCAAAUGCACCCUACAAAAGCCCCUGGUCCAGAUGGCCUUCCAGCUGCUUUCUUCCAAAAGCAUUGGAAAUCAGUAAGUCAAGGUGUUACUACCACAUGCUUGCAGGUCCUAAAUAACAAAGGUAACCCUACUCCACUAAAUCAUACUUACAUAGCUCUGAUUCCAAAGGCUGAAAAACCUAAGAAAAUGGCGGAUUUUAGACCGAUCAGCCUAUGUAAUGUAAUUUAUCGGAUAAUUACAAAAACCAUUGCCAAUAGGUUGAAGCUGGUUUUGAACGAUGUAAUCUCACCAGCUCAAAGUGCCUUUGUUCCAAAUAGGCUCAUAACCGAUAACAUAAUUAUUGGUUACGAAUACUUACAUAAAAUAAGGCUUAGUAUGGGGAAAAAACAUGGGCUAGUGGCUUUGAAAUUAGACAUAAGCAAAGCAUAUGACAGGGUGGAAUGGGACUUUUUGAAAUGUACCUUAGAAAAAUUGGGAUUCUCGCUUGGCUUUGUUGAAUUGAUAAUGCAAUGCAUAACUACCUCUUCAUUUUCUGUGCUGAUAAAUGGGGUGGCUAAAGGGCUGAUCCAACCUCAAAGAGGAUUAAAGCAAGGAUGCCCAUUGUCCCCAUAUCUUUUUAUUCUCUGUGCAGAGACUUUUACAAAUCUUUUACAGCAAGCAGAAUCUCAGCAACUGAUUCAUGGGAUAAAAUUCAGCAAUGAACUUUCCAUCACUCAUCUUUUGUUCGCUGAUGAUAGUUUGAUUUUUACAAGAGCCACAAGGGAGGAUUGUACAAAUUUAAAGAAGAUUUUUUAGUGUUAUGUUGCAGCCUCUGGGCAGAUUUUCAAUUUCGAGAAGUCGUCUAUGUUUUUCAGUGAGAGUACCAAGCCGUAGCAGAUUUCCUCAAUUACAACCAUCUUCCAAAUUCAGGUGGUAUCCAGGCAUGCAAAAUACUUAGGGCUGCCCUCCAUGGUGGGUAGAAAUAAGACGAGUUUUUUUAAGGAUAUCAAACUCAGAGUUCUUGGAAAGAUUUCGAGCUGGCAAGCAAAUUUGUUCUCUUGUGGGGAGAAGGAGGUGUUGAUAAAUGAUGUAGCUCAAGUGGUGCCUGCAUAUGCCAUGAGUGUGUUUAAGCUCCCCCUAGGACUUUGUGAUGACAUGCAAAAGGCAAUUGCUAGUUUUUGGUGGGGAAGCAGCCGAGAUCACAAGUCAAUCCAUUGGUCGAAAUGGAAUAAUUUGUAUCAAGCAAAGAGUAGAGGUGGGCUGGGAUUUCGAAACUUGUCCAGCUUNNNNNNNNNNNNNNNNNNNNNNNNNNNNNNNNNNNNNNNNNNNNNNNNNNNNNNNNNNNNNNNNNNNNNNNNNNNNNNNNNNNNUUUUAAAAAUUCAAGUCUGAUGCAGGCUCAGUUAGGCUCAUAUCCUUCCUUUAUAUGGAGGAGUAUUUUAUGGGGUCGAAAUGUAUUAGAAAAAGGGUUGCGCUGGAGAAUUGGAAAUGGUGAGCAGCUGCUAGUGUAUCAAAGUCAAUGGAUUCCUCGAUCUAUAACUUUUCAGCCAAUAUCCCCCCCAUCAUUGAGCCCAGAUACAAUUGUUGCAAAGCUGAUAAGUGAGGAGCAAAGCCGGAAAGAAGCUGUAAUUAGGCAACAUUUUCUAAAAGAAGAUGCUGAUCAAAUUUUGAAAAUCCCUUUGCCAAGACAACCAAAACCUGACCAAGUGUUGUGGCACUAUGAUAAGAAGGGUAAUUAUUCAGUUAAAAGCGGUUACCAAGUGGCUAUGAAAAUGAAUUUUCCUGAGAAGCCAAGCUGCUCGAGUGAGAAUGAUAAGUAUUGGCAUGCUAUUUGGUAUUUGCAACUUCCGGAAAAAGUUAAAAUCUUCAUGUGGAGGGCGGCAAAUAACUUGUUGGCAACGGCAGGAAAUCUUUGGAAGAGGACAGUGGUGCAAUUCCCUUGGUGCCAGAGAUGUAAGUUAUCAAAGGAGACUAUUUUUUCACACUCUCUAUGAAUGCAAAGCUUCAAGGAAAAUUUGGAGGCUAACCCCUUUUGGGGAGGAUAUUGAGUUUAGCAAUGGAAGAGAUGUUCUAAGCUUGCUGUAGGAUUUGAAUGGAAAAAGGAGAAAAUCUGAGAUGGAACUGAUUGUUGCUGUGUGCUGGAGCAUCUGGCACUCAAGGAAGCUUUUCCUCUUCAAAAACAAAAAAGAAGAUCCCCAGCUAUCAGUUGCAGCAGCAGAAGCAAUGGUGCAAUCUUAUAGCAGAAUCCAAAUGCCCCAAAUGCAAAGUAACUCCCAGCUGAGUACUGCUAAUCAGAAACAAUGGAAACACCCUCCAGAGGGCUGGUUCAAAGUUAAUGUUGAUGCAGCAGUAGGAGUGGAACAACAAAGAGCUGGCCUGGGAAUUGUUAUAAGGAAUUCAGGAGGAAAGUUUAUAGCUGCAGCAAUGAAGCCCUCAAAGUUUAUUGGCAAGAUUGAUUUUGCAGAAGCUGAAGCUAUCAGGCUCGGGCUGGAGAUAGCAGAAAAUGUUGGAUGCUUUCCACUAAUUGUGGAAUCUGACGCCCAGGAAGUGGUGGACUUAGUCAAUUUCAAGAAAAGCUCAAGAGCUGAAAUAUUCUGGGUUGCUUCUGAAAUGCAAGACCAAGUAAAGAGGCUGAACCAGGUGAAAGUAGAAUAUACCCCAAGAGGGUGCAAUACAUUAGCUCAUUCUCUUGCAAGACUAGCAUUAGAGCUAAAUGAUUUUGUUUUUUGGGUAGAAAAUAUACCCUCAAAUUUUUUGUACCUAUUCACACAGUUGGAUAAAUGAAAGUAAUACUUUCUCUCAAAAAAAAAAAAAAUUAUCAUGUCAAAUCUCUGUAUCCUCUUCACUAAUCAAUUCGUUUUUGCACUUUGACUUCCCCACAGGGAAUUCUUAAUUAAUUAAUUUAUUUUUUUAAAUAAGUGCAAAAUUUAUCCCGCCGAGUAUAAUCAAGGGGUGCACGUCAAGACAAAACAAGCAACAGCUGCGACAUGGUUUCAGAGUCAUAUCAUCUAUAAGCCAAACGUGUGUCUGCUCAAUUAGACACCAUAACCUCUAAAGACAAAACAAAUGCAUGCAACUUACCAUAAAAAGAUGAAUGACGAAGUCAUUAUGCAAACUAGAAGAAAUGUAAACUGAUAGGCAAUAAUUGAAAUAAGAUGCGAAAUUAUUUAUAACACAAUUAACAAUUCAACAAUCAGAUGUGUUGAUUUAUUUUCAAUCUGACUUAGACACUAUGUUAUAUUUUAUUAUGUUUUAAUAUAUAUAUAUAUAUAUAUAAAUAAUCAAAAAAUUAUAUAAAAUUCACCAUGAAAAUAAGGAAAACGAAAAAAAAAAUCGAACGGGCCCGCUGAUGGAUCACCAAUGAACGAAAAAGAGCAACUGAAACAAACGAAAUGCAAUGGCAUUUUGGGGAAUCUAUCAAAAGCUGAUACCCUUUUUGCCGAUUCCCAGCCAACCUCUAUAAAUUGCCCGCAAUUGGAAAAAUUCGACCAAAAAAAAAAACAAAUUCACUUCAAAAAGUUCACACACACUCACACACACGCGCGCGCGCGCGCGCGGAAGCCUACUUCUUCUUCUUCUUCUUCUUCUUUCAAUUCUCUGGUAAAACGCAAUAUUUUUUUGUCGUUUUUUCUUCCUGUUAAUACUUAAUGCUUGGGCGUUUUGUGUAUAAUGGAAAUGGAGUCUCGUGUCUGAUUUAUUAUCGCAGGGAACGAUGAAUUAUGCUGAUCUAAAUCGACGUAUCACCGUUAAGGUAACUAUAUAAUUUUUUAAUUUCAAAUUCAUUUCUUUCUUUUCUUUUGUUUUUUAAAAGAGUAAUAUUAGCUUCAACUGUGAUGCUGUUCAGUAGCAGUGCUGACCUUUUUAUUCAUAAAUGUCUUCAGAUAUUUCAUAAUAUGGAAUAUUCUUCUUUAUUCUGUUCUAUUUAUUUACUGGUUUUAAUGUACAUAUUGUCGAGGAGCUAAAUACGCGAGUAUAAAAAUUAACUUCAACUGAUAAUUGGUAGUCUGAUUAUGCCAUUAGUUUUAUCGAGUCCACGUUGAUUCAGUUUGUUGUUUGAUUUUUAUGUGGAACUGUUACUUGAUUAUACAUGAACAUUCACUUGUGCAAAUUUAAUAAUGCCACAUUAUUUAAUAUUUAAUUUUGAAGGCCACUUUUUUAGUUGAGGGCAGGGAACCACUACGAUUCCAUAACACGCUCAUCUAAUCACCUUGACAAUAAGACUUCUCCUAGUCGGCAAUUAUUUAGAAAUAACGUCUUGACAUAUGCUGCGGAAAUUAAAGAAUGAAGUAGACUUACGAAGUCAAGGUGUUUUUCUAGUCUACAUAUUUUAAUUUGUGUAGAAAAUUAGAAAUAUUCAAUGUAUAAUCUGAUUCUACACAAAGACUAAUGCCCCAAGAUUGUGAUUGAAAUGCUAUAAGCAGCUUAUUUUAUAAGUUUAGAUAAAAAUGAAGUUUGAUGGCUUCGUUAAAAGUUGUUUUUUUUAAUAAUUUUCUCUAUUUUGACUGUAACUUUUAAAAACAAAAUAGAGAUUAUUUUUAUAAGUAACUUAUUAAAUAAGUUGCUAUAUCUUUUUAAAUGUUCAUAUUAUAACCUUAAUAUUUUAAGAAAAGAAUAAUUAUAUCUUACUUUUCUAUAAGAUCUAAUAUAUAAAUAAAAGACAAUUUAAACGCAUGUUUAUUUUAGUCAUUAAAUAAUACAACACAUUCAUAAUCAAAUUUACUAAACGUGAGCAAGAUACUUUUUUAAUCAUCAACUUAUUUCGUCCUCACGAUAGAAAUAACUUAUUUUAUCAACCACCGCCAUCCUAAACUUGGUGCUAAGUCUCGUUUGGGAUUGCAUUAGAUUGUCAAAUAAUUAAGAGAAAUAGCUAUUAAGGAGAAGAAUAGGAAGAGGUUCGCCAGAAGCAAUAUACUCGCAAGCUUGGCUACUAAUAAACGAAGCAUACAAGCUUAAACACCUAAAAUAUAUAUAUAGAGAGUAGUUUUUUGGUACGGGAUCUUAAAGUGCGGGAAACAUUAGGAAAAUUUUUAAAACCUCGGGAUUUUAAAGGCUUAAUAAUUAAAACACUUAAACUGAACGGUUUAUGCGUUUUCCCGGACGUUCUCGUACUUUAAAAUUCUGAAUUAGAAUAUUUUUAUAUGUGUGUGUUGUUGUCCAAAUUUUAAUGUACUCGCAAGCGCACGAAUCUAUUGUUGUAUAGAUCAAUGGUGACGAGUGUCGAUCCCACGAGGAGGUGGAUUUUAAUUGUGUAGAAUUAAUUUUGUAAAUGGGUGAUUGGAUUUGUGGUGGAAAUGAUUUGGAAUAUCCUAAAACUUAAAUUAAAAUGGCGAGAAUAAAUUCUAAAAUUGGAAUUGAAAUUACGAGAAUAAAUUGAAGAGAAUUCUAUUAAAAUGACGUACUUGGGUAUCUGGAUCCGUAUCAACAUGCAUCAUGGGCUAAAUAAUCCUUAUUAAUGCCAAUUAAAUCAUGAGGGGGGAAUCCACACCUCAUGAACCACACUCUAAUCAAUAUGGUGCUAAGGGCUUAUCGUGCCAAAUAAUAAUAACCUUGUACUAGAGGGCCGGUGAAACCAAGGCGGUACUAGACAAGAUUAGUAUUAUUUGUCGACGAGAAGUCAAAACAUCCACAAAAACUAGAGGGGAAGAGAAAAUAAAUUUACCAAAUAAAACCCAUGACACAUGUUGAGACUUCACUUUCAACCCAAGCUUGAAAGAAAAUUAGCUACUCAUAAUUGAACUAGGGGCAAAAUGAGAAUUUAUUAAAAUACGAAGAAACUACAAGAUGGAGAAGGAAUUACAAAAAAUAGAGUCCAAAAAUGGAUUCAGAGAUAUCAAAUUAUGGGGGAGAGGCCCCCUUUUUAUAGAUACAUCAAGUAAAUCAUGGCCAUCGGAUUAAAAACAGUUUGGACGCUCAGGAUUGCGCCACGUCAUCAGUCAACAGUACGCGGUUUGACCACGCGGAUGAACAGUAACACGGUUUGACCUAGAUGAAUAGUAACGCGGUUUGACUCGGAUGAACAGUAACGCGUUUGAUUGAAAAUAAUCCUGUGUGAUGCAUGUACCGUACGCGAGAUUUUUCGUCCACUGAUAGGCUGCCACGUCACCAUCAACAGUACAUAAGAAUUUUAGCCCAACAGGAUCGUGACACCUCAUCAGUCAAUGCCACAUCAUCGGUCAAUGCCACGUCAUCAUCCGUCUAUGUGAACAAUGUAGUGAACAGUAACGUAGACAGUACCGUACACGUGAAUAGUACCGUACAUGUGAAUAGUGUCAUUUUUCCUUUUAUGCUCCUCCUAAGGUUUUCGACCGUCCUGAGUUCAAAAGUGAUGUCCGUUUUGCCGUCUGAUCUCUCCUUUAUUGUAAAAUGACUAUAAUGCCCCUAAAAUACAUAAAAUACUUAAUUAAAAUAAAACACAUGUAAUUAAAUCACAAGAAGGUUAAAUACAUAAAAGUAAGGGUUGUUAGUAAGACUUGAAAUGUAAAAUGACGGUCUUCUCUUUUAUAAAUUUACAUUUUCUAACACUCAACACACCCCCCAACCAGCUUAUUGCUAGUCCCUAGCAAAUAAAGCGAAAACAAAAUUCAAAUUCAAAAUAAAUUUUUUUUUAAUAAAAACACUCGUAUUUAUUCCAUUAGAUUAAUAAUAGCAAUCAAAUAAAAGUAUAAGCAUUAUCUCCAGUCUAAAGCAACAUCACACCCACAUCAACCAUCCACAUGAAUCAGCUCAGUAGACUUUGUUAUAGCUACUUUCAAGAAUGACAUGUCAAACCCCAAAAUCUCACUGGAAGUAGUGACACUCUCACAAAGAAAUUAAAACCAAUAAAAAUAGUCACUCCAAUGAAUGGUAAUUGAGAGAGAAAAUAAUAAAGAAGUGAUAUCACAUGCUCUCACCAAGAUGAAAUAAAUAUGCCCUCAGCUUAGAAAUAAUACAGUCUCAAGUCAAAUAAAAAUGCUAGUCAACCCAAUUUAUUUAUCUUUUUUUUAUAUUUAUUUAUUUAUUUUUAUUAUGCACCACUACAUCUCUUUAGCCCACAUAACUAGCUUCUACUUCAAAUUAUAGUUCCCUAAAAUCAGGAAGGACUUUUAUUAGGAUGUAACGUAGGCUAGGGACAUGGUUAACAAAGAAGGGAAAUAAGGAAAACAAAGUAUAUGUUUGAGAAAAAUGCAGAGGACUUUUUUUUUUUUUUUGGGAGUUGCAAGGUGGAUUUCACCUAUUAUUGUUAUUUUUAUUCUUUUGAAACAACAAUUUUUUUCUUUUGUUUUAGCAACAACAAUUUUUUAUUUGAACUAGGCAUAACUUCAUUGUACAAAAUGUUUAUUUACAUUUUUCUCAAACAUAAAUAGGUGAUGGAACUUAUAAGACAUCGGGUAAUACUCCAAAUCGGAGUGGGUCAAGAUGAUAAGUUGACAAAGAAAAGGUUUUUUUUUUUUUUAAAGGCUCAAAAGGGUUAACUAUGGAUAUUUAAUAAAAGGGAUGGCUAGAAAGGCUCAAACGGAUCAAAGAUGGCCUUUCCAUCGUCUUUUAGGGCUCUAAAUAAUCAUCCAUAUCUACUAGUUAGACAGGCCUCCAAAUGUAGCAACACACUUUUUUUUUUUAAUUUUACAAUUUUUUUUAAGGAUUAACUUAAAAGAAAUCUAAAGAUCGUGUAUAAAAUAAUAAACUGCUAAACUGUAUAGAGAAUGGGCAAAAGGGUUACUCUCCAAGAAAAUAAUAGGUUCAACAACUCACUUGGCACUUAUUUAUGACAUGUUCAUUCCUUCAAGCAACUCAUAUUUGUCUCCGACAUCAACAUGUAGAGUAGCAAACAUAAUGUAACAUCACUUAAGACCAAAGAUAAUACAAAUACUAAAAUUUGAAAUUAAUCAUGUCAUCCAAUGUUAAAACAAAUCACACAAUUUUUUUUUAACAACAUUCUACCCCCCAACCUAUUCUAAACAUGAAAGGAAAAUAUGCAUGCAGAAAUGUGAAAAUGAUGCAUAAAAACUAAUUAGAAAAGUUACACGUAAAAUAAUAGAAAACAAAGAUGGUUUUUUUUUUUUUAAAGAUGCGUUUCUAGAGGCACUACACUCCAUAUUCAGCCAUCUUCGACUCAAAAGUUGGAAAAUGUAUAUUUAUAGAGGAGAAAUUAAAAAGAAGAAGAAAAAUGAACAUCAAAACUUAAUAAAGAAAAAAAAAUUAUUUUUAAUUUUUUUGUUUUUUUAAUUAAUUAAUUUUUUUUAAAACAAUGAAGAUGCGUUUCUAGAGUCACUAUCCUCCAUAUUCAGCCAUCUUCAACAUAAAAAGUUAGCAAUAGUUAGUUUCUACAACAAACAAUUAGUAAAAACUUAACCAAAAUUCCACAAUUGUCGACUAUUCACUCCCCCCAACCAGAAUGAAACAUUGUCCUCAAUGUUUGAAAGGAAAGAAGUAGAGUUUAGAAGACAUCACCUGGGUGGUGCAACAUAGAAAAUAAUAUUUACAAGCGGAGAGUUAAAUCUAAUUUGUACUUCUUACUGCGGCUACCGUUACCAUCAUUAUUUGGAUGCUCCAACACAAAGGUCCAGGGGUCUGGCUCCGGUCUAUAAGCUUGUAACAUAUCAAGUAGCUCAUUAGCAGUGUGAGCACAAAUAAAGAGUUUUUUCGCAUUAGAGGGAAUGAAAUAGUUUUUUAUUGCAUGGUUAAGAAAUGCGAUAAAGCCAUUAUAAAAGUUAUUGACAUUUAACAAACCGAUGGGUUUUUGGUGGAUAUGCAGAUGGGCCCAAGAUGCUAGUGUGAUAAGUGCCUCUAGUGUUGCAAGAUCUCCUGGAAGGAAAAUAAAAGCAUCAGCAUGAUUAAGCAUUUCAGUUAUUCUUUCUUGCAUACCUGAGACGACUAACUCUUCUCCAGUUGAUGAGUUAGACGAACUGCCCAAUGGUUUUAGGACUCUUGGAAUGAUGCCUAACACUUGACUUCCUCUGACAAAAGCUGCUUCAGAGACCAUUUUUGAUAACCCUCGGUUACCUCCUCCAUACACCAAGUGUAAUUUUCUCUCUGCUAUACUUCGACCAAGAUCGAUGGCUGCCUCAACGAACUCUUUAUGUUUGCCAUAGGUAAAUCCAGAAAGCACACAAAUGUUCUUGAAUUGUCUAUUUGGAGUAGCUGCCAUUAUGAUACUUCUCAAAAAAUAAUUUGUGAGUGCUUGUAAAAAAAAAAUCACAUUUAAGAGCCUUGGUGACAGUGGGUCAUAGUUGUGUAUGAGGUAACAUGUCAGUGUCAAAUAACGUGUAAAGCACGUGGCUCGCGAGUCAAAAAGGAAACAGUAAAAGGGAAAAAGCAAACAGUAAUAAGGAAAAAGCAAACAGUAAUAAAAUUAUUAAAGACAAUAAUGCACACAAUAAAACAAUAGUGAAAUAAAAUAACAGUAAAGUGAAAGGAUAUUUACAGAUAGUUGCGACUGUGGCUCACAUCUUCCUCUGGUUUUAAGUCUAGAAACGGCUUGAACGCCCUCUAUGGGUCGAGGAUAGGCUUCUUAUCCAGUUUUGUUAUAAACUGGCAAACAGGGUCGUUUAUAGUUAGAUUCUCAAGACUAUAUCGUGCAUGCUCUUUCUGGAAUAAUGAUCAUAACUGGAGAAUCGCUCCUUGCACAUAUCCACUGGGAUGCGUUUCAAGAGACAAAAUGAUAUCAUCCAAUGACUCCUUAUUCAAGCCAUCCCUAAUGAAUUGAAUCUUAUCUUCCCUGUUAUCAGACAUCAUUCCUAAAGAACAUGGGUUUUUAUUGCAACUCAUUCUGGCACACUUAUGACAAACAACAGAAAUUCUUCGAGCUCGUUGUUUUCUUGCAUAAUUUUCUUUACCACAACCAGGCAUGUAUGCAAUAAAUUUUGGAGGUAACUCACCUGCCGAUCGUACUUUCGCCUCAAUUAACCAACGAAUAUCAGCAGGUAUGUUAUUCCUCAUGAGCAAUCGCAUGCGUUCGGACCGAGCUUUAUAGAUCGUAAGGAGGGCAUUCUGAGGAAGUGAAGGGAAUCGCUUGUAAAGCUUCGCUAGAAUCUCCUUUCUGUCCAUACUUUCGCCUCAGAAUAUCAGUUAUUAUGGGAAACUGAAGUAACCGACUUGAUUAUCACGGAGUACCGUUAUCCGCCACUUCACCAAGGUAACAAACUAAAGCACACAAACAGAAAAACAAAUUAAAACACAUAAAGAAAAUUAAAAUCGUCCUCUUAUUGAAUUCACCUCAAGCUCCAACUGGAUGUCGUAAACACUUCUCUCAAUAUCUCUGAGUUGGCUUUCUAGACCCUCAACAUAGGAUACUAACUCUGGUGGUUGACACGUUGAAGUGGUUUAAGAAUGUUCAGGAGGAAUGGUCUAAGUAAGGUACUCAUGAUUAAAAAUGAUAAGAGAAAACUUAAUAGUUAAACAAACACACUUAUGCAAAAAUAAUUUCAAUUAGCAAAAGAAUAAUAUAAAGAAAGAAAGAAAGAAAAAAUCAAAUCACUGAAAAGAAAAAAAUCAAUUCAAAUUUGGUGGGUCACUCAAAUUUAUUUCGAUGUCUUCUCCAUGUGGUUGGUAUUCUAGAUAUGGCUUUAAUCUUUGAGCAUUAACUUUAAACAUGACGCCAUUCUUUGGGUCCUUAAUUUCAAUUGCCCCAUGUGGAAAAACAGUAUGAACAAUAAAGGGACCAGACCAAUGAGAGCGUAACUUACCUGGGAAUAGGUGCAAGCGAGAAUUGAAUAAAAGUACUUUCUGACUUGGAGUGAAUGAUUUUCUCAUAAUUUGCUUGUCAUGAAAGACUUUCAUCCAUUGCUUGUAAAUCUUGGCAUUUUCGUAUGCAUCAUUGCGAAUUUCUUCAAGUUCUGCCAGUUGUAAUCUUCUUUCUGAGCUGGCUUGCUGCAUGUCAAAGUUGAAUUUCUUGAUGGCCCAAUAUGCACGAUGCUCGAGUUCCACAAGUAGGUGGCAAGCUUUUCCAUACACUAGCCUGUAGGGUGACAUCCCAAUCGGGGUCUUGAAAGCCGUUCUAUAUGCCCAUAAGGCAUUAUCAAGUCCUAAUGACCAAUCUUUUCUGUCCGGCCUCACCGUCUUUUCUAAUAUGUGCUUUAUUUCUCGAUUGGAGAUCUCAACUUGGCCACUGGUUUGUGGAUGAUACGGGGUCGCCACUUUGUGUGUGAUUGAAUACUUUGUCAAAAGAGCUUUGAAUGCUUUGUUACAAAAGUGGGCACCACCAUCACUGAUUAUUGCUCAAGGGAAUCCAAAGCGUGAGACAAUAUUGCUUUUCAAAAAUCCUAUCACCACCUUGUGAUCAUUGGUUCUGCAUGGAAUUGCUUCUACCCAUUUCGAUACAUAGUCAACAGCAACUAAUAUGUAUUGAUGGCCAAAAGAAGGGGGAAAGGGUCCCAUGAAGUCGAUACCCCAUAUAUCAAAAAUCUCAACCACUAAAAUUGAAUUUAGUGGCAUCAUGUUCCUUCGUGUAAUGCUCCCCAUUCGUUGACACCUAUCAUAUGAAGAACAGAAAGUGUAAGCGUCUUGAAAUAUAGUUGGCUAAUAGAAACCACAUUGCAAAACUUUAGUAGCUGUUUUCUUAGCACUGAAAUGGCCUCCACAAGCUUGUUCAUGGCAGAAUGAAAGGAUAUUCUGAAUUUCACUUUUGGGACACAUCGUCUAACAAUUUGGUCUGCACAAUACUUGAACAAAUAAAGGUCAUCCCAAAAGAAAUUCUUUAUUUCUGCAAAAAAUUUAACCUUGUCUUGCUUGGUCCAAUGCUCUAGAAGUUUACCUGUAACAAGAUAAUUAACUAUAUCAGCAUACCAAGGUAAUACUUCCACAUUCAUUAAUUGUUCAUUUGGAAAUGACUCAUUCAAUGGUAAUGAUUCUGUAAUUGUGUCAAAAUGGAGACGAGAGAGGUGGUCCGCCACAACAUUUUCUGUCCCUUUCUUAUCUUUGAAUUCCAAGUCAAAUUCCUGCAAAAGUAACACCCAACGAAUUAGUCUAGCUUUUGCAUCUUUCUUUGUAAGAAGAUAUUUAAGAGCAGCAUGAUCUGUGAACACGAUUAUUUUACAACCAAUGAGAUAAGAUCGAAAUUUCUCCAAUGCAAACACUACUGCUAGCAUUUCUUUUUCAGUAGUUGAAUAGUUCAACUAUGCAUCAUUCAAUGUCAUACUAGCAUAGUAAAUAACGUGGGAAAUUCGAUCAACUCUUUGUCCUAAUACUGCUCCUACUGCAUAAUCAGAUGCAUCACACAUGAGCUCAAAUGGUAAGCUCUAGUUCGGGGCCUGAAUGAUGGGUGAUGAUGUCAACAACUGCUUUAAUUUUUUAAAAGCCACAAGACAUGAAUCAUUAAAGAUAAAAGGUACAUCAUUAGCAAGUAAAUUGCAUAAGGGUCUAGAAACUUUGCUAAAAUCUUUAAUGAAACGUUUAUAGAAACCAGCAUGCCCAAGGAAAGAUCUUACUUCUCUGACUGUUUUGGGUGGAGGAAGAUUAGAAAUGAGAUCCACCUUGGCUUUGUCAACCUCAAUACCUUUGCUCGAAAUGAUGUGACCGAGAACAAUACCUUGUUUUACCAUAAAAUGACAUUUCUCCCAAUUUAAAACCAAGUUCUUCUCAAUACAUCUCUGCAGAACUAAUGUUAGAUGAUGUAAACAUUGAUCAAAUGAAUCACCAAAGACAGAAAAGUCAUCCAUAAAGACUUCAAGGAAUCGUUCAACCAUAUCAGAAAAAAUGCUCAACAUGCAUCGUUGAAAUGUAGCAGGUGCAUUACAUAAUCCAAAUGGCAUCCUCCUAUAUGCAAAAGUGCCAAAAGGGCAAGUGAAAGUAGUUUUCUCUUGAUCUUUUGGUGCUAUGGGAAUCUGAUUAUAUCUUGAGUAGCCAUCUAGAAAGCAAUAAAAUUCAUGGCCUGCUAAUCUAUCAAGCAUUUGAUCGAUAAAGGGUAAAGGAAAAUAAUCUUUACGUGUGACAGAAUUCAACUUUCUAUAAUCAAUGCAAACACGCCAUUCUGUAGUUACUCUAGUGGGUAUCAAUUCAUUAUCAGCAUUGGUAACUACUGUGACUCCUGACUUUUUGGGGACAACUUGUACAGGACUGACCCAUGAACUAUCAGAAAUUGGGUAAAUGAUACCUGCAUCUAAUAGCUUAAGGACUUCUGUUCUAACAACUUCUUUCAUAUUAGGAUUUAACCGACGUUGCAUUUCCCUAGUAGAUUUAGCAUUUUUAUCAAGGUGAAUGUAAUGCAUGCAAUCUACUGGAUUUAUACCUUUUAUGUCUGCUAUGGUCCAUCCUAAUGCUCCUUUGUGCUCUUUUAAAACAUCCAACAACUUACCUUUUUAUUCGUCAUUUAGGGAUGAUGAGAUGAUUACCGGUACAGUACUUUCUUCUCCCAAAAAUGCAUAUUCCAAAGUGUUGGGUAAUGGUUUGAGCUCAAGUUUCGGUGGUGAUUCUGAUGAUGGGAUGAGUUUCUUCUCUGAUGGUGCUAGUUGCUUAACUCUUGACUUCUAUUUAUCAGUGUCCAUAGAUGGUGUUGAGUCAAGUAGGGCGUUGACCUCAUCGACCGAUCUGUCAAUAUCAAAAUCCAAACCAAAGUGAGUUAAACAUGUUUGUAAAGGAUCAUCACUAAGGUUUGAAACAAAAGUAUCAUCAACUAAUGCUUCAAUUAAAUCCACAUCAACAAUUCCAUCAUCUGCACUGUGAGGUUGUUUGGCAAUGUUGAAGAUGUUCAGCUCCAUAGUCAUGUUGCCGAAGGACAACUGCAUAUUUCCGGUCCUGCAUUGAAUGUGAGCAUCCACAGUUGCCAAGAAAGGUCGGCCUAGAAUAAUGGGGAUGUGCUUCCUCGAGUCCUGUAUUGGUUGAGUGUCAAUUACAAUGAAAUCAACAGGAAAAUAAAAAUUGUCUACCUGGAUAAGCACGUCCUCCACAAUACCAUGAGGUAUUUUUGUGGACCGAUCUGCAAGUUGUAACACCACUGGAGUUGGGUGUAAUUCUCCAAGUCCAAGUUUCACAAACACUGAAUAAGGUAACAGAUUUACACUAGCUCCUAAAUCCAACAAAGCAUUCUCAAUUGUGUGGUUCCCUAUGCUACAUGAGAUAGUAGGGGAGCCCGGGUCUUUGCAUUUUAAAGGAAUUUUGUGUUGGAGUAUAGAACUAAUGUUUUCUGUUAAAAAUGCCUUAUUUUGAACAUGCAUAUUUCUUUUUUUAGUACAAAGGUCUUUAAGAAACUUGGCAUAAGAUGGAACUUGCUUAAUAGCAUCAAGCAAAGGGAUAUUAACACUUACCUGUUUGAAGAUUUCAAGAAUCUCACCUGUGGAUUUUCCCUUUUUUCCUUUAGCUAACCUUUGAGGAAAUGGAGCUUUCGGAACGUAUUCUCAUGAGUUGUUUUCUUCUUUCUCCUCCGGUGAUGAGUACUCAACAUUCACAGGUACAAUUUGAUUUUCUUUUGUCACCAGCAUCUCCACUUUGUUGUCGACUUCUUUUCCUUUUCGCAAUGUCAUGACUGCUUUGACUUCUCCAUGCUGUUGUGGUGAACUGGUACUUGCUUCAUGUACUUCUUUAGGAUUAGGCACGGGUUGACUUGGAAACUUGCCUUUCUCAACAGUCAUUGCCAAGGUCUGAACUGAAGAAGCAAGUUGUCCCACCAUCUUCUCGAGGCUUGAAACUGAUUGGGCUUGUGAGUUGAAGCCCGCUCUCAAUUCAUUUCGUAGUCCAUCAAUGGUGCGGUUCUGUUGCUCAAUCGUGGAGUGAGUAACAUUCCUGAAAUUCUGGAAUGCAUCCUCCCAUGGUCUAGGUUGAGAGUGGUUCUGGUUCUGAUUGUAUGGUCUGAAUGGUGGCUGAGAGGCUUGAGGAAUUUCAGAAAUUUGUUGCAUUGGUGGAGCUGGAGCUGCUGGUCCAUUCUGUUGGAAUCUUUGAGACCAUGAAAAAUUGGGGUGGUCUCUUCAUCCAGGGUUAUAUGUGUUGGAGUAUGGAUUGUAAUUUGAUGGCUUUCUCAUUACACCUAUGGCAUUGGCUUGAUCAGAGUAUGACUCAGGGUCAUGUGGUUCUGUUGAUUUAGCAGUCGAUAACGAUGCUAUUUGUCGAGCAAGACCUUCAACCAUCUCCUUGACUUCUUUGAAUCCCGAAGUUGACUCGCGAAUGUGAACCUCAUUUACUCCCUUAAUUCUUCUAGUAUUCCUGAAUGAUCGACUCCGUUGUUGGGAAUUAUCCGCUUGUCGCUGGAAGAAUUCCCAAAUCUCUGAUGCACUUUUUGACAUUAGCUCUCCUCCACUUGUUGCCAUUAGCCAUUCUUGCACAUUUGGUAGUGAUCCCUCCAAAAAGUAUUGGCAUUGGUGCCAUUUCUCGUACCCAUGAUGUGGACACUUCAAGAGUAGCCCAUUGAAUCGCUCCCAUGUUUCGAAAAACUGCUCGUACUCUCUCUGAGUAAACUCCGAGAUUUCCCUGCGAAUAGCAUUGGUUUUAUGCACUGGGAAAUAUUUAUUCAAAAAUUUAGUUACCAUUUGUUCCCAUGAUGAAAUGCUAUUGGCAGGCAAUGUAUUAAGCCAUGAACGAGCUCUAUCCUUUAAAGAAAAUGGGAAUAAUCUGAGUUUAACAUCAUUGUCUGAAAAAUUUUCAUAUUUAAAGUUUGACAAAUGGCAUGAAAAUCAUUCAGAUGAUUAUAUGGGUCCUCAUUUUCUAGGUCAUAAAAUGUGGGGAGACAAUUUAGCACACUAGAUUUUAAUUCAAAGCUCCUAGCAGCUACAUUUGGGUAUCUUAUACAUGAUGCGCUCAAAUUUGCUAAAGGACUGAAAUAAUCCUUAAAUGGCCUCUCCUGUGGUUGCAAAUCCAUUUUAUUUUUUACUUGUUUGUGUGUGCGAAGUGUUUUCUCAAGUUCAAGGUCUAUAGGUUCAAGAUUGGGUAAUAAUGACAUUCGACCAUGCAUGCAAAACAAAUAAAAUAAAAAAUAAAGAUGGGAACAAAAUAAAUAAAAAUAAAAAAGAGGGAGAAAUUACGAUACUAACCUUAUUGGGCUAUUACAAACUUUCUAUAAAAAUACACAAAAACAAAUACGUGAAAUAAAUUAACUAAACAUUAAAUUAAUAAAAUAAACAAAAAAAAUUACAAAGAAAAAUAAAUUAAAAAUUAAAUUACAGAAUUUUAAAGAAGAGAAAAAGGAAAGAAAUGCUAACCUUUAAAUGUAAAUUCACUUUUUUUUCUUUUUUUUAAUAAUAAAAAAAAUACAAGAAAACAAAUAAAAGAAAUUAUUCACAAAAAUUAAUUCUAAAAAUUACUUACCUCCCUGGCAACGGCGCCAAAAACUUGUUGUGCAAAUUUUAAUAUACUCGCAAGCGCACGAAUCUAUUGCAGUAUAGAUCAAUGGUGACGAGUGUCGAUCCCACGAGGAGGUGGAUUUUAAUUGUGUAGAAUUAAUUUUGUAAAUGGGUGAUUGGAUUUGUGGUGGAAAUGAUUUGGAAUAUCCUAAAACUUAAAUUAAAAUGGCGAGAAUAAAUUCUAAAAUUGGAAUUGAAAUUACGAGAAUAAAUUGAAGAGAAUUCUAUUAAAAUGACGUACUUGGGUAUCUGGAUCCGUAUCAACAUGCAUCAUGGGCUAAAUAAUCCUUAUUAAUGCCAAUUAAAUCAUGAGGGGGGAAUCCACACCUCAUGAACCACACUCUAAUCAAUAUGGUGCUAAGGGCUUAUCGUGCCAAAUAAUAAUAACCUUGUACUAGAGGGCCGGUGAAACCAAGGCGGUACUAGACAAGAUUAGUAUUAUUUGUCGACGAGAAGUCAAAACAUCCACAAAAACUAGAGGGGAAGAGAAAAUAAAUUUACCAAAUAAAACCCAUGACACAUGUUGAGACUUCACUUUCAACCCAAGCUUGAAAGAAAAUUAGCUACUCAUAAUUGAACUAGGGGCAAAAUGAGAAUUUAUUAAAAUACGAAGAAACUACAAGAUGGAGAAGGAAUUACAAAAAAUAGAGUCCAAAAAUGGAUUCAGAGAUAUCAAAUUAUGGGGGAGAGGCCCCCUUUUUAUAGAUACAUCAAGUAAAUCAUGGCCAUCGGAUUAAAAACAGUUUGGACGCUCAAGAUUGCGACACGUCAUCAGUCAACAGUAACACGGUUUGACUCGGAUGAACAGUAACACGGUUUGACUCGGAUGAACAGUAACGCGGUUUGACUCGGAUGAACAAUAACGCGUUUGGUUGAAAAUAAUUCUGUGUGAUGCAUGUACCGUAUGCGAGAUUUUUCGUUCACUAAUAUGCUGCCACGUCACCAUCAACAGUACAUAAGAAUUUUAGCCCAACAGGAUCGUGACACCUCAUCAGUCAAUGCCACAUCAUCGGUCAAUGCCACGUCAUCGAUCCGUCUAUGUGAACAAUGUAGUGAACAGUAACGUAGACAGUACCGUACACGUGAAUAGUACCGUACAUGUGAAUAGUGCCAUUUUUCCAUUUAUGUUCCUCCUAAGGUUUUCGACCGUUCUGAGUUCAAAAGUGAUGUCCGUUUUGCCGUCUGAUCUCUCCUUUAUUGUGAAAUGACUUUAAUGCCCCUAAAAUACAUAAAAUACUUAAUUAAAAUAAAACACAUGUAAUUAAAUCACAAGAAGGUUAAAUACAUAAAAGUAAGGGUUGUUAGUAAGACUUGAAAUGUAAAAUGACGGUCUUCUCCUUUAUAAGUAUGCAUUUUCUGACACUCAACAUGUGUGUGUAUGGAGGGCAAAUCUUUGACUACCUCCAGCUUCAAGGACCUAUACAAUAACUCUUAAAUCAAACGGAGAAAAUAGUUAAUUCAAUCUGAUUGAAUAUGAUUGAUAUUUACCAUAUGAUUAUUACAUAAAGAUUGAGCCUUAAGUGUUUUACAUUAAGUAAUACUGCACAUUUGUUCUACACAUUUAGACAACUCAGAGUAAGAAUUAUGAAAAUGACAACCAAAUCCAAACUAGCUAGGUGCACUAUUAUUAUUUAUCUUUGCUCCAUAAAUAUUAGAAAGAUAGAGGAGCGGAAGAAAAAGAAAAAACUAAUUUUGUAGUCACAAAUCAAUCUUAUGCUCUGAUUUUGAAGCAAAUCUGCAAAAUAUUUGAGGAUCCAACCAUGAAGCAUGUCCACUUCAAUCUUUCGCUGCACUGCUAACCAUUAUGGGUCGUCUUCUAUUGCUGGCUGUACGUCUAAGCAAUGGGAACCUACUCCAAUUUACACACUGUUAAUUAAUUAUGUUAUCAAAUAAUUUAGUUAAUAAUUGAACACUUAUUUUUUAUUUUAUAGAAAAAUUUACAUACUGCUUCUUGUUGUCACUGUUAUUAUAUUGUCUGAUAUCUUCCAAAACCCUAUAAUCUCCCCCCCACCAAAAAAAAAAGAAGAAAAAGAAUAAGGCAUAUAAUUAAACGGGUAACUUCGAUAGAAAAUAGUGUACAAAAUUUUUAAGCUUAAUUACCCCUCGCUGCUAUGGGAUCACGAAGGCCAUUAGGUAAAAUAAUGUUGCUACCAAAUCUCUUUAAAACCACUCUUAUAUCUUGCAAAUUAAAAAGAAAUAGAAAUCAAACAACAAUUGAGGUAAACUUUAUAAUUAAAAAAGAAAAUGAGAAAAAUUAAAUUAUUAAAAGAAUUAAUUUGGGGAUUAAUCAAUACUUACAUGACCUCCGUAAUAUGUUGUAAUCUAAUGUGGUCUCGGAACCACUCCAUAAGACUUAUUGCAUGAAUUCAUAUAUUCUGUCAGAUUAAAUGAGUAUGUUUGAAACAUUGUGUCGUUUUUGCCAAUUCCAAUUGGUGAGACCAUUUCAUUGUAUGUCUGGAUUGAACUCCCCCUCCCUAAAAAAAAUAAUAAAUAAAUAAGAUAAAGAAGAAAACUAUUUUUAAUCAUUCAUAAAUAUGUAUUCUCAUAAAUAAAAUUUAGAGAUGUACAUAAAAUAAGUAUUGUUAGACGAAAGACUCAUUCAUUGCGACAUGUUGUUUAUUUGACGGUCUCAAUAGUACUAUCCAAUUGGUUUAUUGGCUUAUAUUUGUGUGGUGUAGAUCUAUUUGAAUAACAUUGCAGAAAUAUGAGAUAAUAUGGAAAAUAUUAGAAAUAGUUAAUAGCAUUAUUAAGAUACUAAAUAUCAGCCAAAAUAAUAAAAUAAAUAAAAAGCUCAAAGAGUUCUUGUUGUAAAUCAUGACUCGAAUAGGAAAAUAAACAAGACUAAUCAUAUCUUUGUGUAAAUUUAAUUUGUAUAAAAAAAACGUGUAGGUGUAAUAUUAUAAAUAAACUCAUAGAGAAAAGAAUGUGUAAACUCCUGUGAUUUGACAAAAUAAUCAAAAUAAUCUGUUUAUUUUUUAAAAUAGUUACAAAGCUCCUUUUGUAACAUACAAACUAUGGAAAUUCAUGGGCUACUUAACAUCCAUUUUAAUUUUUUUUUAUUUACACAAAAACAUCAUAGACGAAAGAAGAUAAAAAAUUUCAUUGCACCCAAUUUUUUUGCAUGCGAUCAAUAAGGAAAAGAGGCAGAAAGUGUUGGAAAUAUAGCACAAGUGGCUAUUUGAGGCGUGAUUUUGAGUGAGACCUAUGUGGUGUAAGUGAAAAGUUAAAAUUGUUUCAAAUAUUUCUCUGUAAAUACUUCAAAAUGGUUUUAUCUAUAUGAUCAAAAUGAUCCUUGGAUAAAUGAGAAAUGGUAACUGAAAGUAAAUUCAUGGAAUUGGAAAAUUAAAGGAAGAUACAUUUGUCCCACAUGAAAAAGGUAGUGAAGGCAUGAAAGGCUUGUAUAUAAUUAUUUAUAGUAUGAGUAAAAUAUAAACCAAAAUGCUCUCUCUUCCGUGCUCCUUCCUGAGUAUACGAAAGUUGGCCCAAAUCGAUCGUGGUAGGCCUGCCUUAGUCUUGCACAUUUGAAGUUCAUCGUGAAACGAUCCCAUAGUUGUCGUUCAAACCUCUGGGCACUUAAAAAAAGGUUUUCUUUUUAUUUUUUUUAUAUUUUUUAAAUUUAAUAAAUGCCAUAUUAUUUAAUAUUUAAUUUUAAGGCAUCUUUUUAAGUUGAGGGCAGGGAACCACUCCGAUACGUAACUUCGUGACCUGCUAAUCUAAUCACCUUGACUUUGAAGACUUCUUCCCCUAGUCAGCAAUGAUUUGGAACUUACGUCUUGACAUAUGCUGUGGAAAAAAAAGAGUGAAGCAGACUUAUUAAGUCGAGAUGUUUCUUCAGUCUAGAUAUUUUCGUUUAUACGUGUACACAUAUUCAAUGUCUAACCUUAUUUUGAAAAAAGACUAAUGUCCUAUUUGGGAUUACGGUUGAAAUACUAUAAAUAGUUUAUUUUAUAAGUUUUGAUAAAAAUAAUGUUUGGUAAAUUUGUUAAAAGUUAAUUUAUAUUUUCUCUAUUUUGACAAUAGCUUUUAAAACAAGUAUGAGAUUAUUUUUAGAAGCAACUUAUUAAAUAAAAUGCAUUUUUUUAAAUUUUCUAUUAUAACUAAGAAAAGAAUAAUUGUAUCUUACUUUUUUUAUAAAUCCUAAUAUAUAAAUAAAAGACAAUUUAAACUUAUAAUUAUUUUAGUGAUUAUAUAAUAAAAUAGUUCUUGCAUAAUUGAAUUUACCAAACACUGAGCGAGCUACUUUUAUAAUGAUUAGCUUAUUUUAUCCGCAUAACAGAAGUAGUUUAUUCAAUAGCCACCGGAAUCUCAAACUGAUUCUAAGUCAUGUUUGGAAUUGCAUGACAUUGUCAAAUAAUUAACAAAAGAAGCUAUUAUGUAGAAGCAUAGGAACAGGUUGAGAAUGAGAGAUACAUGUACAUGGAGAGCAAAUUCUUUUACUCUCACCGGCUUCAACGACCUAUACAAUAACUCCUAAAUCAAAGGGAGAAAAUGGUUAAUUCAAUGUGAUUGUACAUGAAUUGAUAUUCACCAUAUGAUUAUUACAUAAAGAUUGAGCCCUUUAUAUGUGCUUUACAUUAAGUAAUACUGCACACUUGUUCUACACAUUUAGACAACCCAGAUUAAGAAUAAUGAAAAUGAACUCUUAAACUAGCUAGGUGCUCUAUUAUUUAUCUUUGCUCCAUAAAUAUUAGAAAGAUAGAGGAGAGGAAGAAAAAGAAAAACAACAACAUACACUCUAAAUAAUCCUUCAAUUCUGAAACAUCCUUCAGAGGCUUGUAAUCAAAUAAACAACAACAACAUAGAAUUAAGUGCCACAAGGUUAGUAACAUUAUAAAAGAUCUUUCAACAUGCCGUCUAAAAAAUGUUGUUAUAUUUAGUUAGAUUACAAUAAACUUUAUAAGUAUGAAGCUAUUGAUAUUAUCAAAUGCAAACGUACAAAUUUGGCCUUAUUUGAUAAUUAGAGUUGUGCGUGGUUUUGUAGUUCAAAUUUAGAUUCUGUAAAAUACGAACCUCUGGAGGGCUGAAUCUAAGCACCAGUAUACUAUAUAUAUGGUAAUGCAAAGGCCGUGUAUAAGCCCAAAUCCAGAUUUUUACUUUGUAUAUUACACGUUAAUCGAAAUGUAUAUAUACUCUGAGGAUGACAGAUAAUUAAUUAGACAUAGUACAUUCGAUAAUGAUGCUACAAUAACAUUGCAUUAAUUGUAAUUAAGGGAAAAUCGGAUGGAUAUAUAUAAGCAAUUAUGUAAAGUAAUAUGAUUAAUUUCUUGCAGGUUUUGAACUUUUUAGAGAGAAAAGCAAGUCCAUUUUUUCUAGCAGCGGUUUUAUCCAUUUCAACCCAGGACUGUUUGAUGGUCAUGUAGCAGCCCUCGCUGGCUUCCUGCAUCAUUAAUUUUCAAAAUUCAAUGGUUAAAUUUUAACAAGAAAACAUAAUCAUACAUAUAUAGAAUUUUAAUUAAUUAAUUUUUUUUCUUACCCUACAGUCAUUGGUGACAAGAUCAUAAUAUGCGUUUGAUGGUGUGAUAUUAUCAAAGUAGAGAAUUGGGGCGGGCGAGGCAACUGCUCCCAAAGACUGUGAGGAUACUUCAAGCGAAACCAUGCUGCAAGCACUGGUGAUAACAAACCCACAAUUGAGUAACUCUCAAAACCAUAUCACAUCCCAGAUUUGAUAAAAUAGGACUAAUUGAGAUGGUUAUUUUUAAAAAAGUAAUUAUCUUAAAUAUAUUUAGUAUUUCUUAAUUUUACGAUCGCUGAAAGUAUUCAUUAAUUGGAAUGCAAAAUAAAUUUGUAUCAAAAUAAUAUUGGCGUAAUCAAUAUUUUGGUCAAACGAGAUCAAAAUGAAUAAAAUGGCGCAACAAAUGACACGACAUUAAUCAAAAGAUGUAAGUAAGUUAAUAAUAUUAAAAUUUACUUCCUCGAUAAGAUGCUCCAACGACGAUAAUGGGUGACAUUUCGGCCGAUAAAUUUUCCUUGAUGUGUAAGAGAAUCUUUGCAUAAUCUACCAAAGCUUGACCAGAGUUUAAAUAUCCACGAAGAGUUGCAUUGUUUAGGGCAUCUUUGCUUGAUACAAAAGGUACUGAUUUUCCAUAGAACCGAUACUGCAUGAAAAAUUGAAUUAAAAAAAAUCCAUCACAACUUUUCAGUUCAUAUUAUAGAAUAUUCUGAUUAAGAUUUGUCUUUAUUAUUAUUAUUUCGUAUGCGAACUCUAUUUUAAUUAUUAUCAAGCUAGCCUGAUAACAAAUUCUUUACUUACCUCUAUGUAAACUUAUAAGGCUUUAAAUCGAUGAGCAUUAUCAGCAAGCCAUCCAAUGCCACCAAGGUCAUCAUAUCAAGACUACUCUCUUCACCAAGAUAUGCCAAUAUCGGCGCCGCCAUGGCUCUGCCACCACCCCAAUGCUUGAAGUUCAACGCAUAUCUAUGAGGAAAAGUUAAAUAACUUUGUGGAUUAUAGUUAAAGUGAUCAAGUGUUUGAUCAUAAUAGUAAGUUUCGAGAUCAUAAUAGUAACUUUGUGGAUUUUUUUGCUAGGGUUUUGAAAAAUAGUCCUUCCACGAACAGCACCAAGCUUUGGGAUGUUCUUUAAUGGUGAAGUGGAAGCAAAAGCAAAAUUUGUGACGAGAAGAAGAAAAAGGCAUGGAGCGACCGACCUUUCAUGGCAAAGUUGUAAAUCCUUAAUUAGCAGGAUGAUUAUGUAAAUACAGAAGAAAUAGAGUUAAGAUUAGAUUAUAAAUUCAGCUUCAAAAUCGACGUGUUUGUUAAUAUAUCCUGGAUUUGUUGUUAUCGUAUAAUAUAAUUAAUGUUGCUUUUAGUUUUAUAUUAGUAUGGAUCUUCAGUUUUCAUAAAAUUAUAGUGUGUCUAAUGUUGUGCAAAUUUUAUUGAACUCACAAGUGUACGAAUCUAUUGUAGAAUAGAUUAAUGGUGACGAGUAUCGAUCCCACGAGGAGGUUGAUUCUAAUUGUGUGUAGAAUUAAUUUUUCUAAAUGGAUGUUUGGAUUUGUGGUGAAAGUGACUUAGAUUAUCUUAAAAUUGGAAUUGAAAUGGCGAGAAUAAAUUGAAGAGAAAUCUAUUGAAAUGAAACACUUGGGUAUCUGGAUCCGUAUCAACAUGCACCAUGGGCUAAAUAUUCCUUAUUAAUGUCAAUUAAAUCAUGAGGGGGGAAUCCACACCUCAUGAACCACACUAUAAUCAAUAUGGUGCUAAGGGCUUAUCGUGCCAAAUAAUAAUAACCUUGUACUAGUGAGUCGGUGAAACCAAGACGGUAUCUAGACAAGAUUAUUAUUAUUUGUCGACGAGAAAUCAAAACAUCUACAAAAACUAGAGGGGAAGAGAAAAUAAAUUUACCAAAUAGAGCCCAUGACACAUGUUGAGACUUCACCUUCAACCCAAGCUUGAAAGAAAAUUAGCUACUCACAAUUGAACUAGGGGUAAAAUGAGAAUUUAUUAAAAUACAUAGAAAAUACAAGAUGGAGAAUAAAUUACAGAAAAUGGAGCCCAAAAUUGGAUUCAGAGAUAUCAAAUUAGGGGGGGAGAGCUCCCUUUUUAUAGAUACAUUGAGUAAAUCAUGGCCAUCGAAUCAAAAACAUUUCGAACACUCAGGAUUGCGCCACGUCAUUAGUCAACAGUACGCGGUUUGAACAGUAACACGGUUUGGUUGAAAAUAAUCCUGUGUAAUGCAUAUACUGUACGCGAGAUUUUUGGUCCACUGAUAUGUUGCCACGUCAUCGAUCAACAAUACAUAAGAAUUUUAGUCCAAUAGGAUCGUGACACCUCAUCAGUCAAUGCCACAUCAUCGGUCAAUGCCACGUCAUCGGUCAAUGCCACGUCAUCGUUCCGUCUAUGUGAAUAGUGUCAUGAACAGUAACGUAGACAAUACCGUACAUGUGAGUAGGACCGUACAUGUGAACAAUGACAUUUUUCCUUUUAUGCUCCUCCUAAAGUUUUCGACUGUCCUAAGUUCAAAAGUGAUGUCCGUUUUGCCGUAUGAUUUCUCGUUCAUUGUGAAAUGACUAUGAUGCCCCUAAAAUACAUAAAAUACUUAAUUAAAAUAAAACACACGUAAUUAAAUCACAAGAAGUUUAAAUACAUAAAAGUAAGGGUGUUAGUAAGACUUGAAAUGUAAAAUGAUGAUUUUCUCCUACAUAAAUAUACAUUUUCUAACACUCAACAUCUAAUAUAUAGUUAACAGUUUCGUAAUUAAUAAAAUUUUUUAUUAUUUCUUUCCUAGUAAUUAAUUAUCUUGUGCUGGAAAGAAUAUCACUAACCACAACUUCUGCAGAAGCUUCCUCACCUUCGGAUGACAUCAGCGGUGGGUCCAGGAUGUUUGAUCGGAUCGGCGAAAUUAAAAAUUUAUUGUAUAUGUUUGCGUGAAUAUUUACAAAGGAGUGAAAAAACUAAUAUAUUAAAUAACGCGACAUCAACAACGUCGUUCUGAAUGAAAUUUUUAUAUAUAAUUUGUAAAAUAAACUAAUAAUUAGAAUGACAAUUUAGCCUUUUUAACUUGUAGAGACACAACCUUAAAUUCCUUAAUAUGCUGGUUAAUUCAGAUCAUUGAGAUGGAGACAAUUAGACAAACCUUAUUUUAUCAGAGUGAACUGCGAAAGUACAAGCUUUACAAAAGAGAUUAAUGUCGUAGUGUGAAUAGAAUUAAAAAAUACUAAGGCAGACAAUUCGUCGAACACAUAAUAUUUGCUACAUUGCUACUACCUAAUAAUUUCACAACCAAUUAACAGUCUCCUUUAUUGGAAAAAUCACAUUAAUCAACCAAAUACAUUUCUUGGUUUCUAAGCUCCAAAAUUGAAAUUUCAUGAAAAGGUUUCUGCAUUGGUGUCUUAUUGCGAGCGAUAAAUUCGUUGGACACGAGUUGCAUUGUAGGUCGAGACUUUGGUUGAGAACGCAAGCAUGAAAAUACUACUGUUGAAACAAGAAUGAUAUCCUGCCUAAUCAUUUGGUCCCCCGGAGGCGGGAGGCGUGGGUCCAACAAAUCAAUCAGCUUUAUAUUUUUAUCCAAUGAUGACGAUGACGAUGAGAGGAGCGCUUCUGGAUGCCUUCCCACUAGUACUUCUAGUGCCACCACUCCAAAGCUAUAAACAUCACAUUUCUCUGUCACAAUCAUGGUGUAGGCAAGUUCUAUAGGAAAACAAAGGCCUUCAUUAGUAACGUUUCCAUAAAUAAUAACAAGAACAAUUUGUUCAUGUUUUUUAGCUUCCGCAGCAAGUUAUGACAAAGAAACUUAUGUUUUAACUUAUGUUCAUUGUGUGUGUGUUUUAAAAGGAAAAGGGGUAGGCAAAGUUUAAAUUUAUUUUUAGCCCCUUAGCUUUUUCAAAAUUCGAACCAAGUAGCGACAUAAAUAAAGCUGCUUAAAAGCUACUUGGCAGAGUAUAUAUAAAAAUUAAUUAAGAGGAUAAUUAAAGAAGCAUAAGAGGAAUAGCUAGAGGAUGACCUGGAGCAAUAUAUCCAAAAGUGCCAGCUAAAAGAGUUCGGUUGGAUGAGUCAAAAUUUAACAAUCUAGCAAUGCCAAAGUCCGCAACAAAUGCUUCUAAUUCUGAGUUAAGUAGAAUGUUGUUGCUUGAUAUGUCCCGGUGAACAAUUGGUGGUGUGCAGUGAUGAUGUAAGUAUGACAAAGCGUGAGCCAUACCCUUCACAAUGUUCACCCUUUUAGUCCAAUCCAACCCAAUAGCUUCCUCAUCUGUGCGUAGAACACAGAACAAGCUUCCCAUUUCCAUGUACUCAUAGAUUAAGAACAUGCAUGUCUUGUGCAAACAAAAGCCGUAAAGCUUUACGAUAUUUCGAUGCCGUAUUUGGGACAGUAGACGAGCCUCAUUCCGAAAACUCUCGAGGGAAGCUAACUCCUCAGUUUCUGAACGGUGAAGCUUCUUCAAAGCAACCACUUUUCCACUGGGCAGCCGUGCUCUGUAAACGCUGCCGUAGCCUCCGGUUCCAAUGCAGUAUUUGAUAUCGAAAUCCUCAGUGGCUUCAAUCAUGUCUUGAAAUGUAAUUCUACCAUCGUAAUUCCAAAUUGCAAACUCAUCAGCGCACUUGGUAAUUUCUCCUGUCCCAGUUGGUUCAACUUCCUUAUCCCUUCGUCUACGGAUAAUCAAGAUUCCAAAUAUCAAGGCAAGGAAUGCGACCAUAGCAAGAAUAAUUGCAACCAAGAGAGUGGCAAUCAUUUUGUGAUGUGGCGGUGGCGCAUUUGCCAAAGUAGUUGGGAUUUCUCCUCCGAAUUUAUUACCUGACACAUCUAAGUGUGGCACUUUUCUGACAAAUACAGGGAUUCCACCGGAAAGGUUAUUCAUGGAAAGGUCCACGGUGUGUAUGCCCGGAAUUGCUCCAAGUUGGUAAGGUAUUUUACCAUUGAUGGAGUUACAGCUUAGAUCAAGAUAAUAUAGUUCUUGAAGUUUGCCAAUCUGUGACGGAAUGCUUCCGCUUAACAAGUUGUUUCCCAAUAUUAAUGUCGUCAGCUUUGAGCAAUUCAUGAGUUCUGGAGGAAUUGGGCCAUCAAGUUUGUUGUCAGACAAGUCUAAAAAUGUCAACCUGUUUAAAUGACCAAGUGUUAAAGGAAUAGAUCCAGUUAGAUUGUUAUAUUCCAGGGACAGAGAUUUCAAGUUGACUAAACUAGCUAUGGUCGAAGGAAUUGGACCUUCAAGUUUGUUGUUGGGCAGGUCAAGAACUUGAAGAAAGUUCAAAUGACCCACAGACGAAGGGAUUGGACCAACAAGUUUGUUUUCAGACAAGUCUAAAUAUGUCAACCUGUCUAAAUGACCAAGUGUUGAAGGAAUAGGUCCAGUUAGAUUGUUAUCCUGCAGGGACAGAUAUGUCAAGUUGACUAAACUAGCUAUGGUCGAAGGAAUCGGACCUUCAAGUUUGUUGUUGGACAGGUCAAGAACUUGAAGAAAGUUCAAAUGACCCACAGACGAAGGGAUUGGGCCAACAAGUUUGUUUUCGGACAAGUCUAAAUCUGUCAACCUGUUUAAAUGACCAAGUGUUAAAGGAAUAGGUCCAAUUAGAUUGUUAUAAUGCAGGGACAGAGAUGUCAAGCUGACUAAACUAGCUAUGGUCGAAGGAAUUGGACCUUCAAGUUUGUUGUCGGACAGGCCAAGAACUUGAAGAAAGUUCAAAUUCCCGAUUUCUAAUGGGAUGGAACCAUUGAUUCGGUUUGAGUGCAUAUUCAAAGUAGUUAGCUGAGUCAAAGGACCUACAGACGAAGGGAUUGGACCAACAAGUUUGUUUUGGGACAAGUCUAAAAUUCUCAACCUCUUUAAAUGGCCAAUUGUUGAAGGAAUUGAACCUCCAAUUUCAUUUCUGGACAGGUCAAGAACUUGAAGAACCUUCAAAUUCUCGAUUUCUAAUGGGAUGGAACCAUUAAUUUGGUUUGAGGCAAUAGCCAAAGUAGUUAGCUGGGUUAGAUGACCUAGAGUGGAGGGGACAUUACCAACAAGGGAGUUAGAAGACAAGUUCAAAAUUUUCAAUUUGCUUAGACGACCAAGAGUUGGAGGGAUAUGUCCCGUAAGGUGAUUAUUAGAUAGAUCCAGGUGGACGAGAUUCCUCAAUCUCCCCAUCUCUGAAGGGAUAAUUCCUGUUGUGCAUGUGAUUUAUGAAAAACGAGAUCAGUAUUCACUAUCCUCAUAGCAACAAAAAAAAAUGCAAAAUUUAUAUGGAGAGAGAGUCAUACUCAAGUGCGGACGGCACACACUUCUUCAGCGUUGUAAAAGCAAACGCCCGCACUAAGCAUGAGCACGAUUUUAUAAAAAAUAUAAUAUGUUACAGUGAAGUUUGGCAGCUUACCGGUAAGAUUGUUGGAGGUCAGUUCAAGAGUUCGGAUUGUUGAAAGAACAGUAAUUUCAGAUGGAAUGCUCCCAGAGAGAAGAUAAUUUGAACGAAUUUUGAAACUUCUGAGGUUGGGAAAGCAAGAGAAUUUGAAACGACCAAGCUCUCCUGUGAUGUUAUCAUUUUCAUACCAGAGUAAGCUGACCCCGAUUACGCUUACCGCUGAAUUGCAACUGAUGCCAGUCCACUUACAAUGAUCGGACGUGUAGUUGCCCGUCGUCGCCCAAUUGUUGACCCACCAGCCGGUAGCAAGUAAAGCUUCCCUUUCUAACAGUAUGGGUGACGACAACAAUCCUGCAGCUGAUGUCGUUACAGAUAUUGUCGUAUCACUUAUAGCACCAACAUUUAUUAAAAUUAUAAUGACCACCAGUCUCGAAACAGAGGACGCUGAUGCCAUGUUUAUGGUGGUUUUCUGUUGAUUGAGCUACAUUUGAUUCUCAGCAAAGCGUUUAUAUAAGAAUCAAUUGUUUUGCAAGCUCCCAGUGUUAACUUCCAAUACGCGUUUUCAAAUAGUGUGAGUCAAUGUCUUCUCUGGAUGGAUUCAAUCAUGGAGAUAUAACCUUAUCGGCUUGUAUUUGUGAGGUGUAGAUCUAUUUGAACAACUUUGCAGAAACAUGAGAUAAUAUGGACAAUAGUAGAAAUAAUUAAUAGCAUUAUUAGUAGUAUAAGAUAUUAAGUAUUACCCAAAAUAAGAAAAGGAAAAAAGUUCAAAGAAAAGAAUUGUUAUAAAUAAUGGCUCAAAUAGGAAAAUAAACAAGACUAAUCAUAUCUUUUGUAACAUACAUACCAUAGCUCAUGGGCUAACUAACAUUUUUUUUUUUUAACCCUAAACAUCAUAAAUGAAAGAAGAUGAAAUUUUAAUUACCGCUCAAUUUUUCUGCACGCAACCAAAUUUAAAAAAAAAGAAAAAAGAAAGUGUUAGAAAAAUAAUGCGCAAGUAGCUACUUGAGGCAUGAUUUUGAAUGAGACCUUUUUGGUAUAAGUGAAAAUUCAGAAAUUGUUUCGCAUAUUCCUCUAUGAGUACUUCGGAAUGUUAUCUAUACAAUCAAAAUGAUCCUCAAGUGAAUGAGAAAUUGUUACUCAAAGUGCACUCAUGAAUUUGAAAAAUUAAAGGAAAAUACAUUUGUCCCACAUUGGAAAGAUUUAUACAUAAUUACUAGAUGAACGGUAAGCUACUAUUAGCAAAGGGGCGUUCCUUGUGCACAGUCACGGGAGUGCAAAAUUUAACCACCCCAAUUAGCUUAACCAGUGUUCAUAUUGGGGGUGUUUACCCGACCCUUAGUUGGGGUUAGCUAAUGUGGCAACUUAGUUUGCCUUUUUUUUUUUUUUGCUCUUUGUAAUAAUAAUAAUAACAAAUUAAUAUAAUUUUUUAAUUUAAUAUUAUAUUACAUAAUAUUAAAUUAUGUUUUAAUUUUUAUUAUUUUAAAUAUAUAACUAAACAAUGUAUUAUUUAAUUGUAUUAUUUUAAUUAAUAUAUAAAAUUAUAUUAAUUAAUCUUUAAUAAGUUAAUAUAAUUAGUAAUAAAUACUUAAAUAAUAUAAUAUUACAUUAUUAAUUAUAGUACAAUAAUUAAUUUAGCUAUUUUUAAAUAAUUUAAUAUAACUAACAAUAAAUAUUUAAAUUUGAAUAAAUUUGAAUAAUAUUAAUUGAAAAUUAAUAAUAUAAAUAAUUACUGGAUUAUUUAGCUCAAUUUAUUUUCUUAGUGAAUAUGUCAUAACAAUUGUAUCACUUUAUUAUUCUAUAAUUAUCUUGUAAUAUGUAUAAAUUUUUAUUCUAUCAUCCUCAAAUGAUUUUUGAAUUAAUCUUGAAGAUUUUAACUAUUUAUUUAUGUUGUUAAAUUAUUUAGUGAUUAUUUGAUUAAAUUAUUUACUUCGAUCUUUAUUUCACAAGUUAUAUAUUUAGAAAAUACUGAAAAAUACACAUCCAAAAAUUUAAGACUAUAAGCCUCGGAAAAAUUAUGACAUUUCAAUAUAUAUUUUUAAUAAAAAUGUUAAAUUUCUAAAUUUCUAAAAUUUAAUAAUUUUAUAUUUAUUAUUUUUAAGUACUAAUAAAUAUUAUUUUCUAAAUAUAUAAUUUAAAUUAAUCACAAAAAAAUUAAUACAGUACAGUGUAACGCUAAACAUUAUACAACAUUAUUAUAAUACAAUGCUAAUGCAAUACAACAUAAUACAAUACACCUACAAUAAAAUAAUGCAAUACAACAUAAAAUAGAAUACAGUGUGUCAAAUGCACCAUUGUAUUAUUGUUUCGUUCUCAUGGUAUAAUUGCCGUCCAUACCUGUGCAAAACAUUAAGAGUUAAAAAUAUAUAUUUUUAUGAUUAAUUUUAGAUUUUUUUAAACUUUAAUAAUGCCAUAUUAUUUAAUAUUACAAUUGCCGUUCGAACAUGUGCAAAACAUGAAGACUAAUAUAUAUAUAUAUAUAUAUAUACACACCAUAUUAUUUAAUAUUUAAUUUUUAAGGCAACUUUUACUUUUAAAAAAAAAAUUUAAGGCAACUUUUUUAGUUGAGGGCAGGGAACCCCUACGAUACGUAAUUCCAUAACACGCUUAUCUAAUCACCUUGACUAUAAGACUUCUCCUAGUCAGCAAUUAUUUGGAAAAAAACGUCUUGACAUGUGCUGUGGAAAUUAAAGAAUGAGGUGGACUUACGAAGUCAAGGGGUUUUUCUAGUCUACAGAUUUUAAUUUAUAUGUGUAGAAAAUUAGAAAUAUUCAGUGUCUAAUCUGAUUCUACAUAAAGACUAAUGCCCCAAGAUUGUGAUUGAAAUACCACAAGCAGUUUAUUUCAUAAGUUUAGGUAAAAAUGAGGUUUGAUGGCUUUGUUAAAAGUUGCUUCUUUCGUAAUUUUCUCAUUUUGACUGCAACUUCAAAAAAUAGGCAGGAGAUUAUUUUGAUAAGCAACUUAUUAAAUAAGUUGCUAGAUCUUUUUAAAUGUUCCUAUAAUAAUCUUAAUAUUUUAAGAAAAGAAUAAUUAUAUCUUUCUUUUCUAUAAGCUCUAAUAUAUAAAUAAAACACAGUUUAAACUUAUGUCUAUUUUAGUGAUUAAAUAAUACAAUACAUUCAUAAUCAAAUUUACCAAACACAAGCAAGAUACUUUUUUAAUCAUCAACUUAUUUCAUCCUCACAACAAAAAUAACUUAUUUUAUCAGCCACCGCCAUCCUAAACUUGAUGCUAAGUCACAUUUGGGAUUGCAUUUGAUUGUCAAAUAAUUAAGAGAAAUAGCCAUUAUGGAGAAGAAUAGGGAGAGGUUCGCCUAAAGCAAUAUACCCGUAAGCUUGGCUACUAAUAAACGGAGCAUAUAAGCAUAAACACCUAACUUUUGAGGCAUAUAAGGGAUCUAAAAGUGCGGGAAACGUUCGGAAAAACUUUAAAACCACAGGGUUUUAAAGGCUUAAACUGCAUGGUUUAUGUGUUUUCCUAGAUAUUCCUACACUUUAAAAUUCAAGAUUAAAACAUUUCCAUAUGUGUGUGUGUGUGUGUGUGUGUGGAGGGCAAAUCUUUGACUCUCUCCAGCUUCAAGUACCUAUACGGUAACUCUUAAAUCAAAAGGGAGAAAAUGGUUAACCCAAUCUGAUUGUAUAUGAAUUGAUAUUCACCAUAUGAUUAUUGCAUAAAGAUUGAGCCUUAAGUGCUUUACAUUAAGUAAUACUGAACACCUGUUCUACACAUUUAGACAACUCAGAGUAAAAAUUAUGAAAAUGACAACCAAAUCCAAACUAGCUAGGUGCACUAUUAUUAUUUAUCUUUACUCCAUAAAUAUUAGAAAGAUAGAGGAGAGGAAGAAAAAGAAAAGACUAAUUUUGUAGUCACAAUUUAAUCUUAUGCUCUGAUUUUGAAGCAAAUCUGCAAAAUAUUUGAGGAUCCAAUCAUGAACCAUGUCCACUUCAAUCUUUCGCUGCACUACUAACCAUACUGGGUCAUCUUCUGUUGCUGGCUGUGUGUCUAAGCAAUGGGAACCUACUCCAAUUUACACACUAUUAAUUAUGUUAUCCAAUAAUUUAGUUAAUAAUUGAACACUAAUUUUUUAUUUUAUAGAAAAAUUUAAAUACUGUUUCUUGUUGUCACUGCUAUUAUACUGUCUGAUAUAUCUUCCAGAAUCCUAUAAUCCCCCCCCCCCCAAAAAAAUAGAAGAAACAGAAAAGAUAUAUAAUUAAACAGGUAACUUCGAUAGAAAAGAGUGUACACAAUUCUUAAGCUUAAUUACCCCUCGCUACUAUAGGGAUCACGAAGGCCAUUAGAGAAAAUAAUGUUGCUACCAAAUCUCUUUAAAACCACUCUUAUAUCCUGCAAAUUAAAAAGAAAUAGAAAUCAAACAAAAAUUGAGGUGAACUUUAUAAUUAAAACAGAAAAUGAGAAAUCUUAAAAUAUUAGAAGAAUUAAUUUGGGGAUUAAUCGACACUUACAUUACCACUUUAAUAAGUUGUAAUCCAAUGUGGUCUUGGAACCACUCCAUAAGACUUAUUGCAUGAAUCCAUAUAUUCUGUCAGAUUAAAUGGGUCUGCUUGAGACAUUGUGUCGUUUUUGCCAAUUCCAAUUGGUGAGACCAUUGCACUGCAUGUCUGCAUGAGAAACCCCCCAAUAAUAAAAAAUAAUAAUAAUAAAAUAACAUAAAGAAGAAAACUAUUUUUAAUCAUUCAUAAAUAUAAAGUCUCAUUGCCACAUGUUGUUUAUUUAACGGUCUCAAUAGAACUAUCCAAUGAAAUCAUGUCACUUGUAAUUGCAUACCUGUCAGCCCCAGCUGGAGUCCAAUGUUGCAUCGGAGAAGAAUUCAUCAACAUCAUGGCAAGAAUCCUCCCCUCUUAAAUCAACAAUUCCUGAGAUGAUCCAGUCUAGGGCAUCUGUGUCUUCUAAAGCUCCAUCAAUUGCAUUACAGGCUUUGUUCACUGGGCUUUCCUGAGGAUCAUCAUACUGAGCUGCACCCGUAUACAUAUACUCUAAAUAAUCUUUCAAUUCUUAAACAUCCUUCAGAGGCCUGUAAUCAAAUAAACAAUAACAUAGAAUUAAGUGCCACAAGGUCAUUAAUUUUAUAAAAGAUCUUUCAACAUAUUGUCUUCAAAAUGUUGUUAUAUUUAGUUAGAUUACAAUAAACUUUAUAAGUAUGAAGCUAUUGAUAUUCUCAAAUACAAACGUUCAAAUUUGGCCUCAUUUGAUUAUCAGAGUUGUGCGUGGUUUUGUAGUUUAAAUUUAGAUUCUGCAAAAUAUGGACGUCUGAACCUAAGCACCAGUAUACUAUAUAUGGUAACGCAAAGGCCGUGUAUAAGCCCAAAUCCAGAUUUUUACUUUGUAUAUUACACGUUAAUCGAAAUGUAUAUAUACGCUGAGGAUGACAGAUAAUUAAUUAGACAUAGUACAUUCGAUAACGAUGCUACAAUAACAUUGCAUUAAUUGUAAUUAAGGGAAAAUCGGAUGGAUAUACAAUACAAUACAAUAUACAAUAUGGAUAUACAAUAACAUACAAUAUGAUUCUGAUACAACCCCAAUAUUACAGUUAGACAAGCCCAACUCAGCUAGCUCUAUCAAUACUGAGGAAAAGGCCCAGGCAAACUCAAGUGAGGCUAUCCAAAAUCGACCCCAAGAUAACCUCAAGCCAAGUCGCGUAAGGAAGCCUCCCAAAUGGCUCAAGGAUUACACAUACUGAGCAUAUAUGAGCUGAGGACUCGGUUUCUAACGGCCUUAGCUAUUUAGAGAACAACUUUUUUGUUAUAGAGGGAGGUUGUUAUUUAGUUUUGACAGCUGUGAGCAUAUUCUUGCUGCUAUAAGUAUUUCCAUGGUUGUAUUUGAUGAUAUAUAAAAUUCUGGACCUAGUUUCUUCUUCUUCUCUGAAUUUUUCUCUCUAUUCUAUCUUGCCAUUCACUCAUUUCUUUAAAAUUCUGGGAGCUUGCACUUGCUUGAAAAGUGUGGAAACCUUGCUGUUCGGUGUGUUCACCAGCGGCAUAACAGAUUCAUUACUUGCAGGUUUUGAACUUUAUAGAGAGAAAAGCAAGUCCAUUUUUUCCAGCAGCGACUUUAUCGAUUUCAGCCUAGGACUGUCUGAUGGUCUUGUAGCAGGUCUCGCUGGCUUCCUGCAUCAUUAAUUUUCAAAAUUCAAUGGCUAAAUUUUAACAAGAGAACAUAAUCAUGCUUAUAUAAAAUUUUAAUUAACUAAUUUAUUUCUUACCCGAAAGUCCUUGGUGACAAGAUCAUAAUAUGCGUUUGACGGUGUGAUAUUAUCAAAGUAGAGAAUUGGGGCGGAUGAGGCAACUGCUCCCAAAGCAAUGUGACGAUACUUCAAGCGAAACCAUGCAGCAAGCAUUGUUGAUAACAAACCAACAAACGAGUAACUCUCGAAACCAUAUCACAUCCCAGAUCUGAUAAAAUAGGAUGAAUAGAGAAGAUUAUUUUUAAAUACAUAAUUAUCUUGAACAUAUUUAUUAUUUCUUGAUUUUACGAUCGCCAAGAGUAUUCGUUAGUUGCAAUAUUAAAUAAAUUUGUAUCAUAGUAAUAUUGCUGUAGUCAAUAUCUUGAUCGAUCAAUCGUGAUCUAAAUGAGUAAAAUGAUGUGACAGAUGACACGACAUUAAUCAAAAGAUGUAAGUAAGUUAAUAAUAUUAUAAUUUACUUCCUCCAUAAGAUGCUCCAACAACCAUAAUGGGAGACAUUUCGUCCGAUAAAUUUUUCUGGAUGUGUAAGAGAAUCUUGCAUAAUCAGCCAAAGCUUGAGCAGAGUUGAAAUAUCCACGAAGAGUUGCAUUCUUUAGGGCAUCUUUGCUUGAUACAAAAGGUACUGAUUUUCCAUAGAACCGAUACUGCAUAAAAAAUUGAAUUAAAAAAAAAUCCAUCACAACUUUUCAGUUCAUAUUGUAGAAUAUUCUGAUUAAGAUUUGUCUUUAUUAUUAUUAUUUCGUAUGUGAACUCUAUUUCAAUUAUUAUCAAGCUAGCCUGAUAACAUAUUCUUUACUUACCUCUAUGUAAACUUGUAAGGCUUUAAAUCGAUGAGCAUUAUUAGUAAGCCAUCCAAUGCCACCAAGGUCAUCAUAUCAAGACUACUCUCUUCACCAAGAUAUGCCAGUAUCGGGCGCCGCCAUGGCUCUGCCACCACCCCAAUGCUUGAAGUUCAACGCAUAUCUAUGAGGAAAAGUUAAAUAACUUUGUGGAUUAUAGUUAAAGUGAUCAAGUGUUUGAUAAUAAUAGUAAGUUUCGAGAUCAACAUAGUCACUUUGUGGAUUUUUUUGCUAGGGUUUUGAAAAAUAGUCCUUCCACGAACAGCACCAAGCUUUGGGAUGUUCUUUAAUGGUGAAGUGGUAGCAAAAGCAAAAUUUGUGACGAGAAGAAGAAAAAGGCAUGGAGCCGCCGACCUUUCAUGGCAAAGUUGUAAAUCCUUAAUUAGCAGGAUGAUUAUGUAAAUACAGAAGAAAUAGAGUUAAGAUUAGAUUAUAAAUUCAGCUUCAAAAUCGACGUGUUUGUUAAUAUAUCCUGGAUUUGUUGUUAUCGUAUAAUUUAAUUAAUGUUGGUUUUAGUUUUAUAUUAGUAUGGAUCUUCAUUUUUCAUAAAAUUAUAGUGUGUCGAAUAUAUAGUUAUCGGUUUCGUAAUUAAUAAAAAUUUUUAUUAUUUCUUUCCUAGUAAUUAAUUAUCUUGUGCUUACCAGAAUAUCACUAACCACAACUUCUGCAGAAGCUUCCUCACCUUCGGAUGACAUCAGCGGUGCGUCCAGGAUGUUUGAUCGGAUCAGCUAAAUUAAAAAUUUAUUGUAUAUGUUUGUGUGAAUAUUUACAAAGGAGUGAAAAAAAACUAAUAUAUUGAAUAACGCGACAUCAAGAACUUCGUUCUGAAUGAAAUUUUUAUAUAUAAUUUGCAAAAUAAGCUAAUAAAUAGAAUGACAAUUUACCCUUUUUAACUUGUAGAGACACAACCUUAAAUUCCUUAAUAUGCUGGUUAAUUCAGAUCAUUGAGAUGGAGACAAUUAGACAAACCUUAUUUUAUCAGAGUGAACUGCGAAAGUACUAGCUUUACAAAAGAGACUAAUGACGUAGUGUGAAUGGAAUUAAAAAAUACUAAGGCAGACAAUUCGUCGAACACAUAAUAUUUGCUACAUUGCUACUACCUAAUAAUUUCACAACCAAUUAACAGUCUCCUUUAUUGGAAAAAUCACAUUAAUCAACCAAAUACAUUUCUUGGUUUCUAAGCUCCAAAAUUGAAAUUUCAUGAAAAGGUUUCUGCAUUGGUGUCUUAUUGCGAGCGAUAAAUUCGUUGGACACGAGUUGCAUUGUAGGUCGAGACUUUGGUUGAGAACGCAAGCAUGAAAAUACUACUGUUGAAACAAGAAUGAUAUCCUGCCUAAUCAUUUGAUCCCCCGGAGGCGGGAGGCGUGGGUCCAACAAAUCAAUCAGCUUUAUAUUUUUAUCCAAUGACGAAGAUGACGAUGAGAGGAGCUCUCCUGGAUGCUUUCCCAUUAGUACUUCUAGUGCCACUACUCCGAAGCUAUAAACAUCAGAUUUCUCUGUCACAACCAUGGUGUAGGCACGUUGUAUAGGAAAACGGAAGUCUUUAUUAGUAAUGUUUCCAUAAACAAUAACAAGCACAAUUUGUUCAUGUUUUUUAGCUUCUUUAGCAAGGUAUGACAGAGAAGCAUAUGUUCUAACUGAUAUUCAGUGUAUGUGUGUUUUGAAAGGUAAAGGGAUAGGUAAAGUCUAAAUUCAGUUAUAGCUCCUUAGUUUUUUCAAAAUUCGAACCCAAGUAGCGAGCUAAAUAAAGCUGGUUAAAAACUACUUAGCAGAGUAUAUAUAAAAAUUAAAUAAGAGGAUAACUAAAGAAGCAUAAGAGGAAUAGCUAGAAGAUGACCUGGAGCAAUAUAUCCAUAAGUGCCAGCUAACAGAGUUCGAUUGGAUGAGUCAAAAUUUAACAAUCUAGCAAUACCAAAGUCAGCAACAAAAGCUUCGAAUUCUGAGUUGAGUAGAAUGUUGUUGCUUGAUAUGUCGCGGUGAACAAUUGGUGGUGUGCAGUGAUGAUGCAAGUAUGACAAAGCAUGAGCCAUACCCUUCACAAUGUUCACCCUUUUAGUCCAAUCCAACCCAACAGCUUCCUCAUCUGUGCGUAGAAUACAGAACAAGCUUCCCAUUUCCAUGUACUCAUAGAUCAAGAACAUGCAGUUCUCGUGCAAACAAAAGCCGUAAAGCUUUACAAUAUUUCGAUGCCGUAUUUGGGACAGUAGACGAGCCUCAUUCCGGAAACUCUCGAGGGAAGCUAACUCCUCAGUUUCUGAACGGUGAAGCUUCUUCAAAGCAACCACUUUUCCACUGGGCAGCCGUGCUCUGUAAACGCUGUCGUAGCCUCCGGUUCCAAUGCAGUAUUUGAUAUCGAAAUCCUCAGUGGCUUCAAUCAUGUCUUGAAAUGUAAUUCUACCAUCGUAAUUCCAAAUUGCAAACUCAUCAGCGCACUUGGUAAUUUCUCCUGUCCCAGUUGGUUCAACUUCCUUAUCCCUUCGUCUACGGAUAAUCAAGAUUCCAAAUAUCAAGGCAAGGAAUGCGACCAUAGCAAGAAUAAUUGCAACCAAGCGAGUGGCAAUUGUUUUGUGAUGUGGCGGUGGCGCAUUUGCCAAAGUAGUUGGGAUUUCUCCUCCCAAUUUAUUGCCUGACACAUCUAAGUGUGGCACUUUUCUGACAAAUACAGGGAUUCCACCGGAAAGGUUAUUCAUGGAAAGGUCCACAGUGUCUAUGCGUGGAAAUUCUCCAAGUUGGGAAGGUAUUUUACCAUUAAUGAAGUUACCGCUUAGAUCAAGAUAAUAUAGUUCUUGAAGUUUGCCGAUCUGUGACGGAAUGCUUCCGCUUAACAAGUUGUUUCCCAAUUUUAAUAUCCUCAGCUUUGAGCAAUUCAUGAGUUCUGGAGGAAUUGGGCCAUCAAGUUUAUUGUUGUACAUAUUCAAAGUAGUUAACUGAGUCAAAUGACCCAGAGACGAAGGGAUUGGGCCAACAAGUUUGUUUUGGGACAAGUCUACACUUCUCAACCACUUUAAAUGGCCAAGUGUUGUAGGAAUUGAACCUCCAAUUUCAUUUCUGGACAGGUCAAGAGCUUGAAGAACCUUCAAACUCCCGAUUCCUAAUGGGAUGGAACCAUUCAUUUGGUUUGAGGCAAUAGCCAAAGUAGUUAGCUGGGUUAGAUGACCUACAUUGGAUGGGAUAUUACCGACAAGGGAGUUAAAAGACAAGUUCAAAAUUUUCAAUUUGCUUAGACCACAAAGAGUUGGAGGGAUAUGUCCCAUGAGGUGAUUAUCAGAUAGAUCCAGGUGGACGAGAUUCCUUAAUCGCCUCAUCUCUAAAGGGAUAAUUCCUGUUGUGCAUGUGAUUUAUGAAAAACGAGAUCAGUAUUCACUAUCUUCAUUAAAAAAAAAUUACAUAGAGGGAGAGUCAAGCUCAAGUGCGGACGACUCACACUUCUUUAGUGUUGUAAAAACAGACGCCUGCUUUAAGCAGCAGCGCGAUUUUAUACAUACAUAUAUAUAUAUAUGGUGAAGUUUCACAGCUUACCGGUAAGGCCGUUGUAGGGCAGUUCAAGAGUUUGGAGCAUUGAAAGGGCAGUAAUUUCAGAUGGAAUGCGCCCAGAGAGAACAUAAUUUGUACGAAUUUUGAAAUUUCUGAGGUUCGGAAAGCAAGAGAAUUUGAAACGACCGAGCUCUCCUUUGAUGUUAUCAUUUUCAUACCAGAGUAAGCUGACCCCGAUUACGCUUCCCGCUGAAUUGCAACUGACGCCAGUCCACUUACAAUGAUCGGACGUGUAGUUGCCCGACGUCGCCCAAUUGUUGACCCACCAGCCGGUAGCAAGUAAAGCUUCCCUUUCUAACAGUAUGGGUGACGACAAUAAUCUUGCAGCUGAUGCCGUUACAGAUAUUGUCGUAUCACUUAUAGCACCAACAUUUAUUAAAAUUAAAAUGACCACCAAUCUCGAAACAGUGGAUGCUGCUGCCAUGUUUAUAAUGGUUUUCGGUUGAUUGAGCUGGCUAUUUGAUUCCUUGCAAAGCGUUUAUAUAAGAAUUAAUUGUUUUGCAAGCUCCCGGUGUUAACUUCCAAUACGCGUUUUCAAAUAGUGUGAGUCAAUGUCUUCUCUGGAUGGAUUCAAUCAUGGAGAUAUAACCUUAUCGGCUUGUAUUUGUGAGGUGUAGAUCUAUUUGAACAACUUUGCAGAAACAUGAG